GCCUCUCCCAUUCAGGUUCUAUAUUUAAAUCGUAGAGUUUUGCUGCAUAGUAUACUCUAUCAUAUGAUAAUUAAUGGACUAUAUAUCGUUAUUUGCAUGCAGAGAUGACUUGGAAGUUUACUUAACGGAACUUAAAAAUCUUACCUUGAAAAUCCUUGACCUAAUGGCUAAAGCUCUAAGAAUGGAUCCCAAUGACAUGAUAGAGUUGUCUGAAAACGGGAUGCAAUCAUUAAGGAUGAAUUAUUAUCCUCAUUGUCCGCAACCAGAGCAAGUUCCUGGCUUUAAGCCUCAUUCUGAUGGCUCCGUACUCACCAUCCUCCUCCAAAUCAAUGAGAUGGAUGGUCUCCAAAUUAAGAAAGAUGGAAAAUGGGUUGCUGUUAAACCCCUUCCUGAUGCCUUUAUAUUCAACAUUGGUGACGUUUUAGAGGUAACACUGGUCAUUUUCUAUAGCCUAUUAUAAGUAACGCUAUGUCUCUACGUAGUUUCUACCUCUAGUAAUGUUAAAUGACAUCUAACGUGUCUUUUAUUGGUAAGUAGAGUAGAAUCAUUGUAUAAUUUGUAUUAAUAAUAGAAAAUAAAGUCUACUAACAACAAAUCUAUAAUAAGAAAUAAUUGGUGACACGUCGCUUGCAAUAAAAACUAAGCUAUUAGCAUAGGAUAUAUAGUUGAUGACUAGUUUCAUCUAAUUUCUUCCUCCUCUUGAUUAUACUCUCUAACUUUUUUUUUUUUUAGGUUCUAUUGAGUAAUGAAAAAUACUAGCUCGACCAUGCCCUCAUCUCUCAUCCUGAGGCGAAUCUCUUCAGCUGAAUGGCACGAGAAGAGUCCUGGUAAAACAUCUUAUACAAGCAUGUGCCAACUAGAGACGAGCACCAACCAGAGAAAUAUACCGACCAGAGAUGUAUACCAGCCAGAUGCUCAUCAACAAAAGAAAUGGCACACGAUCUCAUGAAAUCGCGAUAGUUUCGCUAUGUCCUAAACCAUUAAGGACAUGGCAUCCCAGGUUUACCCACGAUCUAGUGGUUGGAGACCCAUGAGGGUCUGCCAUCACCCAAAAAAGGGGGACGUGAAGAGUACGCAGAAACGUGGGGCAACGGCUAUAAGAAGCCAGAAGACUGAUGAAAAAAAAGAUAGAAAAAUUGAGAGUAAAGGGAAAACUCUACCAAAUUGAAACCAUAUUACAUUCCAUACAAAUUUUUGAGAGCAUUACAAGAAAUCACACAAUUUAAAUUACAUAGCUUUCCUAUAAACACUUUGUGCUAACUUAAGCAUCAGAGGGUUUACGCCGGUAAAACCACCGGCGUCUCUGAUCCGUUUUUGUGAACGCAAGCUUAGGAAGAGGAGAAAUGGUAAUUCCAACCCCAGGAACUCAAACAAUCGUUGAAAUAGAAAGAAGGUGACAUCUUCUCUAUUAACCACAUAAACGUUGAUGAAAAGAUUUGGUCGGGUAAAGAGCGAGCAGAUUUCAGCAUCAACAUUUUGGCGCCGUCUGUGGGGAGCUGGAUAAAAAGCUACCACCAAGUUAGUAGUCAUCAGAGGAAUAGCGAACGAUCAAUUAUGGAUAUGACGAGAAAGGAUGCCCUAGGGGGCGACAAUAAAACUGGUGAAACGAUUACUCUCCGAGAGAUCACAAAUGAAGCUAGAGAGAGGAUGAUGCAAGAUCGAAUAGAACGGAUGGAGAAGCAAAUGAAGACUCUCACAGCUAUAUUACAUGAGCUGAGGGAUGAACAGAGAAGGGAUUGUGAGACCACCGUCGUGAGAGACGAAGUCGUAGUGAAACCCAGCCUACGGAGGCAUAGAAUCGAGGAGAUCCCUCCGCUAGUAGACCAACCCUAUGGGGUGCAUCCCCAUAGAAGUGCAGGUUGGAUCCCAGGAGAGCGCGUGGAUGAAGGGAGAGACCAGUCUCGCUCUGGGCGAGUUCCGGAAAUUGAUGGCUGAGGAGCGAAUAUUGAUGAGGGUGAGCUCAGACAGCGGUUGCAUAAUGCCGAGCAGGAGCGAGAUCAAACAGUUGCACGUGAUCCUGACCGUGCUUUAGAGUUGGAAGGUGAGGUACGCAGGUUGGCGCAGGUGAUGGAUGAAAUCCAGGGCAAGAGAAAGCCUCCGAGCUGAUGGAUAAUGUUGGAUGAAGAAUCUCUGCUAUCAACCGAGAUCAUGGGUACCGUAAUCCCAAGAGAUUUCUGUUUUCCUGACCUCAAAUACUCCGGGAGAAGUGACCCGAUGGUGCAUAUUGAGCGUUUUAAUGAUAUGACGGGUGUGCAGGGGCUAACACUAGCUCAGAGGUGCAGGGUGUUCCCAUUGACACUAGAGGGACGAGCCCGAGAAUGGUACCGUAAGCUGCCACGAGGAAGUAUAGGGGGAUAUGAGCAGAUGUGCCAAGAGUUGGCCGAGCAGUUCCGAGGAGAGGUAGCCCCAGAGGACGAUAUGAUAGAAUUGAUGGGGAUGAAGCAGGAGGAACACGAAUCCCUUCGGGAUUUUGUGAAAAGAUACCAUCGGGCCGUGCUUGAUCUGGGAGCUUUCAAUCACGCACAGGCAUUGAGAGGAUUAAAAGAGGGUGUGAGGAUAUGCCGAUUGUGGUACAACUUGAGAAGUCCCAUCGUUCAGAAUUAUUCAGCAGGGUAUGAGUAGGCGAGGAGAGACAUAGAAAUUGAAGAGGAAAAAACGGCAAGGAUAAAGAGUGAACAACUAGAGGAGCUGAGGCGAAAGGAAAAGAGAACCCUGAGUGGGAGCGGGUCGGGAAAGCGAGCUGGGGAACCAUCAGUAAUGAGAGGAAUAUCAGCUCAGUCUCGCCCUUAUCCCAUAACUUAAACACCACAACAGUUCCAACACAACCGAGCUCAGCCUCAACGCCUCCCAUUCCCGGAGCGGCAACGAGAAUUCUGGCAGAUGGCUGCCCAUCCUUUUCACAACGCUCCCAGAGCACUGCAUGCAGUUAACUCUAAGGCUGGUCGACCAAACCAGCUACCUGCAAUACCAGCCCGGGAUGAUAUCCACGAUAGCCGAGCGGUCCAACUGAUUGAUCAGAGCUUGGCGUAUAAACAGUACACCCCAUUGAAAGUCUCUCUGGAGGAGUUGUAUGAGAGGAUCGAGGGACGAGGCCUCUUGUACCCUCCUGCCCCUAUAACCAAACCCGCCCACAAAUGUGAUAAAAGCAGAUUCUGUAAAUUCCACGACACUCAUGGUCACACUAUCAGCCAGUGUCGUGACCUGAAGACUCAGGUUGAGGAUUUGGUGAGGAACCGGUACUUGGAUGAGUAUGUUGAUGGAGUGUCCCCUAUCAUUGAAUCACAAUACACGUUAGAUGAUGGAGUUGAGAGGAGUCUAGAGCUUGAACAACCAACUAUUCGGGUGAUAGCAGGAGGCCUGACAUUGGCUGGAGAUUCGAAUAGAGCACAGAAGAAUUAUGAGAGAUAUGCUCUGACCAACAAAGAGGUGAUAUUCAAUUUGCCAACAGCCAAGAGGGCAGAAGUAAAGCAAGUUCUCAUUAUGUGGACAGAUGAAGAUGAAGAAGGUGUCUUAUACCCUCAUGAGGAUGCACUGGUAAUCAAGGCGAUGGUGGCGGGUAAAGAAUUCCGGCGAAUACUGGUGGAUACGGGCAGCUUAGUCGACAUAUUAUUUAAGUCGGCCUUAGACGAUAUGGGGAUUGCGGAUUUGAAAUUGGAACGGACGAACACAUCUUUGAAGGGAUUUAGAGGAGGACGGUUGACCCCCAUGGGGAUCGUCGAGCUGCCGAUUACUGUAGGAACAAAACCAUUUGAAAAGACAGUGAUGCUGGACUUUGUAGUAGUGGAAGAGAAAAGCCCUUACCAGAUGAUAUUGGGGUGACAUUUCAUGAGGGUAAGCCAAUGCGUUUUAUCCACACAUUAUCUGGCGUUGAAAUACAGAGUGAACGGGGUUGUGGGCAUAGUAAAAGGUGACCAGAGAAUGGCAAAGAGUUGCUACGCUACAGCCGCCAAGGAAACAUUACAAGUUACCACUCUGAAUAACCGAGGAGAUUCUAAAAAGGGUCGCCAGGAGCCAGCUGAGAAACUGGAAGAGAUUUUGGUGAGCAAGAAUAACCUGAGUAGAGUGGUAAGAAUCGGGUUAGGAUUGGGCGAGCGCGAUAAAAGGCGAGCUGGUAAAGUGCCUACAAUCCCAUGCAGAUAUAUUUGCCUAGUCGCAUGAGGACAUGACAGGAAUUGAUCCCGGGGUAGCUUGCCAUAAGCUGGCAAUCAGAAAAGGGGCAAGACCAGUGAGGCAGAAAAGGAGGUGCUUUAACCAGGAAAUGUACGAGGCCAUAAAUGCUAAGGUGGAGAAGCUGUUGAGAGCAUGAUUCAUAAAGGAGGCUAAAUACCCGGAGUGAAUUUCUAAUGUAGUGUUGGUAAAGAAGGCCAACGGGAAAUGGAGAAUGUAUGUGGAUUUCACAGACCUUAACAUGGCAUGCCCAAAUGAUGGCUUUCCCCUACCUAAAAUAGAUCAAUUGGUUGACUCAACGGCGGGUCAUAGUUUGCUCAGCUUCAUGGAUGUCUUUUUGGGAUACAACCGGAUACCCAUGGACGAGCAGGAUGAGGAGAGUUCCACCUUUAUAACUAACAUGGGUUUGUUUUGCUACAGGGUGAUGCCCUUUGGCCUGAAAAAUGUAAGGGCUACCUAUCAAAGAUUGGUGAAUAAGAUUUUCAAGCCAUUGAUCGGUCACACUAUGGAGGUAUACGUGGACGAUAUGAUCACGAAGUCUAAAGAACCGAAGGAUCAUGUGAAGCACUUAGAAGAGACCUUUGAACUACUGAGGAAGUACCAAAUGAAGUUGAAUCCGGAGAAAUAUGCAUUUGGAGUUAGCUCGGGCAAAUUUUUGAGGUUCCUGGUGAGCCACCGAGAGAUCGAGGCCAACUUAUAAAAAAUACGGGCAGUAACAGAAAUGAAGUCCCCCCAGACAGUUAAGAAAGUGCAAAGCCUUACAAGGAAGUUGGCAGCAUUGAACCAGUUCAUCUCGCAGGCCACGGAUAAAUGUCACCCUUUUUUCCAAACCAUAAAGAAAUAGAGGAAAAUGGAGUGGACAUCAGAAUGUAAGGAGGCAUUCGGGCAGCUGAGGGAAUAUUUUGCCCGUGCCCCAUUACUAUCGACUCCAAGAGAAGGUGACAAGCUGUAUUUGUACUUGGUUGUCUCUAAAUGGGCUACCAGCUCGGUAUUAGUCAGAGAAGAAGAAGGAAAACAACACCCCGUGUACUACACUAGCAAGGCCCUGGUGGACGCAGAAACUAGAUAUCCACUAAUAGAGAAAUGGGCGCUAGCUUUAAUAACGGCAUCACGCAAGCUCAGACAAUAUUUUCAGGCCCACCCGAUAGUAGUGAUGACUGUCUAACCUCUUCGGUAAAUGCUUCAAAAACUAGAUGCAUAUGGUCAGCUAGUAAAAUGGUCUGCAAAGCUAGGCGAAUUCAACCUAUCUUACAGACCACGAGGAACAAUCAAAGCCCAAGCCCUGGCUGAUUUUAUAGUUGACCGUAUUGAACCAGGGGAAGAAGUUCAGGAGGAGCAACCAGUUGAACAGGAGAAACCAAAGGGGGUGUGGCUGGUAAUGGUUGAUGGGUCACGUAGGGAACAGGGGUCCGGAGCAGGAGUUGUAUAUAUGAAGCCCAGAAGGGGCCGAGGUAUCCUAUGCAGUAAAGUUCAAAUUCCAGCUCACGAAUAACCAAGUCGAAUACGAAGCCUUCAUCACUGGGAUCGGGCUGGCACACGCACUAUGAGCAGAGAGGGUAGAAAUCCGAGCAGACUCCCAGUUAGUCUGUAAUCAGCUUAGUGAACAAUUCCAAGGGAGGGAAGAGAAGAUGGGGCUUUAUUUGAAGAAGACAAAGCAGAUGGUUGGGCUUUUCCAAGAAGUAGAAAGAAAGCAGAUAUCCCAGAAUGAAAAUUACCGAGCAGAUAUGUUGGCCAGAAUGGCCGCAAUUACAGAUCCAAAGUUACCCAAGUCGGUUCUAUUGGAAGUAAGGACCUCGCCAAGCAUAGGGGAGGAGGUGGAAGUAAUGUAGGUGAGCACCGAAAAAUCCUAGAUGGACCUGAUUCUCUCAUACAACCGCGAUGGCAUUUUACCAGAGGACAGGAAGCAAGCAAGGAAGUUGAAAUGUCAGGCAGCAAGGUAUACGCUACUCGUUGGGGUACUCUACCGCCGAGGAUUCACUUUGCCCCUUUUAAGAUGUUUGGAUGACGAGGAAGCAAAUUAUGUGCUGAGGGAGAUUCAUGAAGGAAUAUGCGGCAACCACUCGGGGGCAAGGACUUUGGCCUUCAAGUCACUUCAGCAAGGGUACUUUUGGCCGACUAUGCACCAGGAUGCGAAGGGGAUGGCAAAAAACUGUAAAGUCUGCCAAAGCUUCUCGGAGGUUCCCCUUCAGCCCCUAGAAAGGCUAACCGCUAUGUCAUCCCCAUGGCCUUUUACCCAGUGGGGAAUUGACCUGAUUGGCCCAUUACCUAAAGGCCGAGGAGCCGCAACACAUACAAUUGUGGCUAUAGAUUACUUUACUAAAUGGGUAGAAGUGGGAGUCCUUAGCCAAAUCACGAAAAGAAAGACAAUAAAUUUUAUCUAGAAGAAUAUCAUCUGCAGAUACGGGAUUCCCUAUGCCGUCAUAACAGACAAUGAGAGGCAGUUUGACAACCACAACUUCAGAGAAUUUUGCCAAAACUUGGGUGUAGAUCUGAAGUUUUAUACCUCGGCACACCCCAGGCAAACGGGCAAGUAGAAGCAGCCAACAAAGUAAAGAAACUCCUGAAAACCAGGUUGGGAGAGAAGAAGGGAGCUUGGGUCGAUGAGCUACCAGAAGUGUUAUGGGCCUACCGGACAACCCACAAAAUUGCCACGGGAGAAACCCCGUUUGCCUUAGCUUUUGGUCAUGAGGCAGUAAUCCCAGCAGAAAUCAGGGUGGGGACACAUCGGACAGAGUAUUUCAACAAGGAACAAAAUGACGAGCAGAUCUGCAUGAGUCUAGACCUGCUGGAGGAGAAAAGAGAAGGGGCCUCGCAGAGAGUGGCCAAAUGCCAGCAAAGAAUCAUGCACUACUACAACAAGAAUGUACGCAUGAGGCAGUUCCGAGCAGGAGAUUGGGUACUUAGAAAAGUGAACCAAAAUACAAGAGAUCCUAAUCAUGGCGUUCUUGGCCCGAAAUAGAAGGGCCCGUAUAGAUAAAGGACCAACAGGCAAAAUCCAUUAAAUUUGUUAAGGCAAGCAAGUGUCUAUUCCUGGUCGGUCGGCUAAAGAACUAGCAGGUAAAAUCUAUUAAAUUAGUUAAGGCAAGCAAGUGCCUAUUCCUGCUCGGUCGGCUAAAGGACCAAUAGACAAAAUCCAUUAAAUUUGUUAAGGCAAGCAAGUGUUUAUUCCUGCUCGGUUGACUAAAGGACCAGCAGGCAAAAUCCAUUAAAUUUGUUAAGGCAAGCAAGUGCCUAUUCUUGCUCGGUCGGCUAAAGGACCAGCAGGCAAAAACUAUUAAGUUGUUAAGGCGAGCAAGUGCCUCUUCCUGCUCAGUCGCCUAAGAGACCAGCAGGCAAAUCCUACAAAAUUCUACUGAGGCAAACAUGUGCUAACUCCUGCUCGGUCGUUGAAGGACCAACAGGCAAAAUUCUACGAAACCGUUAAGGCAAGGAAUCACCUAUUUUUCCUCGGUCACUCAAAGACAAGCAAACAUAUUUUUUAAGGUAAUUUGCAGAAACAACUCAUAAGCAAAAUCGUGGCAAGAAAGCAAUCGGAAAGCAUCAAAAGUUUAUAAACAUUCAAGUGUUUGUAAACAAAUUCAGAAUUUACUUUAAAAGCAAGCCUAAGGAUUAUGAUGUUCAGCAGCCUCAGUAGGAGAAGGAUCAGCAAUCUCGGAAAGAGGAUGACCAAUGACUUUUGGAGGAGCAGGCGUUGACCCCUGACCUGCUUCCAGAUCAUGAUCCCCUACUUCCUCCUCAUGCACCCCACCUGAAGGUACCUCAACCUGAUCCUGGUCCCCCUGGUCCUUGUCUCCCUUAUCUGACUCGGUCAUAUAUUUCUGCACUCCCGCCUCCAGCUUGCUCAUGUUAAGCUCUGGAUAUUUUUCCUUAAGCAUAAACAUGAUGCACUUGUAGCAAAAGGCGAGCUCAGAAAAGGCAAGCAAGUGCUUAAUCCUGCUCGGUCGCCUAGAGGACCAGCAGGCAAAUCUAUAAUUUUUACUAAGGCAGGCAAGUGCCUAUUCCUGUUCGGUCGCCUAAAGGACCAGCAGGCAAGUUCUAUAAAUUUCGCUAAGGCAAACAAGUGCCCGUCCCUGCUCGGUCGAUUAAAGGACCAGCAGGCAAAGUCAAUUAAAUAUGUUAAGGCAAUUUGCAGAAACGGUCCAUAAGCAAAACCAUGGCAAGAAAGCAAACAGAAAGCAUCAAAAGUUUAUAAACAUCCAAGCGUUUGUAAACAAAUAAAAAUCUAAAAUUUACAUAGAAAAUAAGCCUAAAGAUCAUGAGGUUCGGCAGCCUCGGUAGGAGAAGGAUCACCAAUCUCAGAAAGAAGAGGACCAGCAACUUCUAGGAGAAUAGGCCUUGACCCCUAGCCUGCUUCAAGAGCACGAUCCCCUGUUCCCUCCUCCUGAACCCCACCUGAAGAAGCCUCCACCUGAUCCUGGUCCCCCUGCUCUCUAUCCCUCUGGUCGGACUCGGCCAUAUAUUUCUGCACUCCCGCCUCCAGCUUGCUCAUGUUAAGCUCAGGAUAUUCCUCUUUAAGCAUAAACAUGAUGCACUUGUAGCUAACGGCAGGCCUAAAGUUAUACUCUGCAUCCAGCCGAUCAUCCACCUCAGCAGAUUUACCUUUCAGCUCGGCUACCUGCUCAUUCAAGGACUUGAUUUGCUCCUCGAGGGUCGUCUUCAAGGUAUCUCGUUCACUUUGAGUAGCCUGGAGAUCAGACUUUAGGUCACCCAACUCGCUCUCAAGCUUGGAGGAGUUGGACUCAGCAAUGGCCACUUUCUCCUCCAGGUCCAUGAUCUGCUUGUGCAGAUCAAGUCCUGGUUGUCAGCUUGAAGCCUCCUCUCAUGGCGCGUGGACCUGUUCUUGUAGCAAGAAACCAGAGUAGCCAGCUUAAAGGAAACCCUCUGAAUGGAACCAGCUAACUCGCUAAGGUUCAUGCUUUCAAUAUCUUUGACCAUUUUGGGUCCCAGUGACUUGCCAUAGUCCCUCUGGUACGGGGUUAGAUAGUCACCCUGGUCCCGAGGCGGAAGAGGAGAGGAUCGGUCUCCAUAUUGAACACUGACCUCAGGACUCUUGUCGCUAACCUUCUCCUCGCCAUUCUUUCGAGGUGGAGAAGGAGGCAGAGCAGGAGCAGGAGCAGAAGUCUUGGAAGAGCCAACAUUGGUUUUCUUCAGGGGAAGGGGGUUGCUAGAGCUACCUGAACCCCGAGCACGUUUCUUUGAUAUAGCGUUGAGGAUCUUGUUAUCCAUCCCGGCAGCUAUGUCCACUAAGCGUGACCCAACAAGAUUUGUUGACGACAGGAGAUCUUGACAGGUAGACGCAUUCACCAGAGUAGUUUCCACCUUGAGCAACGGUUUGUCGUCAAGUUUCUUGAUCAGGCCCCACGACUCUAAAAGAAUGAACAAGGUUAAGGAACCCAAUAAGUAACGAUCAGAGAAGUGAAGUAUGCAGAAAAAUAAACGAUCUGGGGUGACAAAACGCGUUGGAAGGUGAAUAUCACCACCAAGCGAAUGGAUUGCUGGACACAAAUAUCCCCCAGCAAAGAAGAGUUUGUUCUUCCAGUUUUUACAUGAGGAAGGAAAGCCGGUGAUAGGCUUCAUCUUCGCAGAGCUUGACAUGAAGUAGUACCAGCCUGCUUCCCUUGGGUUGCUCCUCAGCUGAUACAAAUGCUUUACUUCCACAAGGGAAGUCUCCCCGUGUCCACACCUUUCCCAUAGCACAUACAAGGCUGAAAGAACCCUCCACCCAUUCGGGUGAAGCUGACCUGGAGCCAGAUGCAUGCCACCAAAUAUCUUGGAAAAAUAAGGUUGAAGGGGCAACCGAGCCCCUAACUUGAAACUCUCCAGAUGCAUCGUCACAUACUCCUUUGGAGGCCGACUGGGGACGUCACCUUUCCCAGGGAUUACAAGAAGAACGUCCUCAAGGAUAUUGUAAAGAUUUCUAAGCUUGAGUAGGUCAGUGUGGGUAGUAGCACAAGCAAUUUAGUCAAUGGGGUAAGCAUCUGCCUCCAUCCUAUGAUCAAGAUUUCUCUUCUUAGAGGGUCAGCUCUGCUCGAAACUGCUCUCCUCACCGUCACCCACUUCCUCAGGGACCCCAGCCCCCUCAGAACUGUGAUUUUCACCAGAGCCCGACGCUGGUCUACCACGGUUUCCCACAGGUUUUAAAUCAAGGGAAGGCAAAGUGGUCAUGGGACGAGGGUAUUUAGGGGUAUCCCUAUGGUAGGAGGGACCUACACUGCGAGAAUAGCAUAGGAGAUCAUUGGGUCCAAACAGGUUGGGGUAUGAAUCCUCUAUCUCUUCGUCACUCUCAUCUACAAUUAUUUUUCCCUUUCAGUUUGACAUAUCGGAAUUUUAAAAGGGAAAGCACAGCAAAUCCAAGUAUAUAGGUACAAAAAGGGACAAUACAGAACCCAAGCAACAACAACCAGAGAAGAAGUUAAAGGCGAUACCUGAAAUAGAUUGGCACUGGUAGCGUUGCCGUGACGGAGAAAGGGCCCAGCAAAUAGAGGUUUCCGACGCGGAAAGUGCGAUUAAAGUCCAAAGAGGGAGUUGGCUUACGGCAGAAUGGCAGAUAGCGAAACGCAAUGGCAGUUUCAAUUUAGGGAUUUAAAACGAAAUGGGGGAAUGGAGGCGUUUAAGUUACGCGGAUGUCAGCUCAAUUGCCGCAUAUCGAGGAUAGAUAAGCCGUCGUUUCGAAUUUCAAAUACGAAAGGGCAAGAAGCGACACGUCACUGGCCAUUAGAAAAGGUCUGAUGAGACGUUAGCCUAGCUAUAUAGUGGACACGCUCACGAAGGCCCAUACUCAGACCGAAAUCUCCUUAAACAAGAGAAGGAACCUCAGGUCCAUCACAAUAACACGAGGACCAGAGAGAUGUUUUCCGAAGUCGGUAAGAUCCAAUUCUCAGUUUCUAAUCUCAACUCGUUUCACUCGCAAGACCAGAAACUGGGGGACUGGUGUUGAGUAAUGAAAAAUACCAGUUCGGCCAUGCCCUCAUCUCUCAUCCUGAGGUGAAUCUCCUCAGCUAAAUGGCACGAGAAGAGUCCUGGUAAAACAUCUUAUACAGGCAUGUGCCAACUAGAGACGAGCACCAACCAGAGAAAUAUACGGACCAGAGAUGUAUACCAGCCAGAUGCUCAUCACCCAAAAAAAGGGCGCACGAUCUCACAAAAUCGCGACAGUUUCGCUAUGCCCCGAACCGUUAGGAAGGACAUGGCAUCCCACGUUUACCCACGAUCCAGUGUUUGGAGACCCAUGAGGGUCUGCCAUCACCCGAAAAAAGGAGACGUGAAGAGUACGCAGAAACGUGGGGUAACGGCUAUAAGAAGCCAGAAGACCGAUGAAAAAAAGGGCAGAAAAAUUGAGAGUAAAUGGAAAACUCUGCCAAAUUGAAACCAGAUUACAUUCCAUACAAAUUUUUGAGAGCAUUACAAGAAAUCACACAAUUUAAAUUAUAUAGUUUUCCCAUAAACACCUUGUGCUAACUUAAGCAUCGGAGGGUUUAUGCCGGUAAAACCACCGGCGUCUCUGAUCCGUUUUUGUGAACGCAGGCUUAGGAACAGGAGAAAUGGUGAUUCCAACCCCAAGAACUCAAGCAAUCGUUGAAACAGAAAGAAUGUGACAUCUUCUCUAUUGACCACAUAAACGUUGGUGAAAAGAUCUGGUCGGGUAAAGGACGAGCAUAUUUCAGCAUCAACAGGUUCAAUUUAUGAUCCUAUAGAUUUUUAGCAAUGGAACCUAUCGUGAUAUUGAACAUCGUGUGACUGUAAACUUAAUGAAGGAAAUGUUAUCUUUCACUACAUUUUACAGCCUAAAAUUAGAUGGAGAAUUGGGUCUACCACCAAGUCUUAUGAUAUUUUCAUGCAGAUACACUUUAAAACCGCGGAGUUUAAAAAAAUUAGUUUUUAAAUCUUUUAAACCUCACAGUUUUAUAAUUCAUUCAAAAUUUUUUUUUAAAUCACACAGUUUAAAAUUGUGACCGCAUUAAUAAAAAUACGGGUGUCUGCACCUGAGAAUAAAUUUUAUUGAAUAUUGAUAAAUUAAAAAAUAAAGACGUGAAACACAUACUAAGUGUUGAUCUUGCAGCAAUGAUAUUUGCAGUAUUGGAGAAUUAUUGAUGGAAUAGAAAAACAAAAGAAGAAGAAUUGGGGUAGAGAUCGUGCAUAAAGAAAAAAAAACGAAUAAAAAUAAUAGUGGUCUUGAAUUUUUUUAUUUUAUUUCUUAAUUAAUUAAGGAUAAUUUUUGUUUUAUGUAAUAAUAUAUUUAAAAUUAUUUAAGUAUAAAAUUUGUUCUCAAAAUUAAAGUUAUAAUAAUUUUCUUAAAAUUACCAAACAAAAAUUAAAUUUUAAUAUUUUAAAAUUACUUUUGAGUCAAAACAGUAAUCUUAAAUGAGCCCUUAUUCAAUUACCUGGAUAAAACAAAAUUGAAUUUAAAUUUUAAGGACUUCAAUUAUAAUGCAGUUUAAAAAGUCACGGUCCCCUUCUAAAUUGCGUGAUUUCUACCAACGAUGCGGACUCAACUAUGAAAUAUCCCAAUAGUUUCGUAACUUCUAUGAUUGGGCACGCGAACUUGACAGGCAUUGUCAUUGUUGUAUAUUUGUCUAUAUUUAAUUUACGAUUUUACAACGUAACACUUGGGGGAAAAAAAAAACCAAAAAAAUUCGUGUACACAAGUUUGUGUGGUCAGCCUGGUUUUAUAUUUCAAAAUGCCAGUUUUGUGGGAUUAGUACCAAUCUAAAGAUAAACCACACAAUGUGACACUACAUGGAUAAGAAUACUAUUCUACUGUGAAAUCUUAGCUUAUCUUAGUUUUAAUUGAACGAACGUUUGGGAUAGACAAAUGAUAUUUGAACACUAUAAUGGCUCUAGGAUAUAAUACAAGUGAUGGUAGGUUGCGUAAAUGAUCCGCAUCAUUUUAGUGUGUCACAAAAUUAUGAUUUAUCGAAUAAUAAUAAUAUCAUAGAGUGAUUUUAUUUGUACCUUAAAUUUUAUUUUAAAGACUGUAAUUUUUAAUAAAAAUAUUAUUACAAAAACUCCUCUAAUAUCAUUUACUAAUAAAAACAAUUCAAUUUAAGUUAAUAGAAUAUCAUUACUCUUCACACCAUUGAACGCACAUUCAAUUCAAUAAUCCAAUUACAAAACCCUGUACCUUUCUUUAACCAUAAAUCUAAUUUAUCAUUAGUAAAAGAAAAUAUUAAGGGUUUAAUAAAUAACCAACAAGCUACCAACAACAGCAAUUGAAAAACAAUUUUUGUUUAUGCCGAAAAAAUGAGAAACAUUAUUUUGAUUUAAAAAAUUAAAAAUAAAACUGUACGUUUCAAAACCCCAAAAAGAAAAAGGAAAAAUAAUAAGAGAUCAGCUGCAUAUUGCUGCUGCUUCAAAAUUAUCAAUUGGAAAUACAAACUUGACUCCAGUCUAUAACUCUCUGGUAAAAUUAAGAGACAUUUCUCUUUUGACGGAAGUUUAUUUCAUUCAAAGAGAUGAGAGUCAUUUUUUUUUUUUUCAAGAGAUUUGAAUAUCUUUAACAAUAAUAGAAUUACAUAGAAUAAAGUUCUUUAGUCAAUAAAGAAUUAAAUUGGGUGAGACGUAAGAUAUAAAUGGAGGACUAUUUUGGUAUUUAAAAGAAUGUGCUCAAUAAAAUCAAUUUUUUAAAUUUAUUAAAUGAGAGAACGAGUGUAUAGAAUAAAGUGAUACUGUAAAAUCUAGAUUUCAAAUAGCCCCAUAUUAAGUCAUGGUUUGUCUUUUUAUUUUAAUUUUGAAAUAGGUUUGAAUGUUACUGAAGUUUGAAUGGCUUUGAAUGCUUAAGCUAGAAUAAUAUGUUUGGUUUUUAUUUUUUGGCAUCUGAGUGUAAGUGGUAAGUUGUUUGUAUUUUUACAGUUAUGACUAGCUUAAAUAGAUAUGUAUUCAUAGUGUUUUCUAGUACAAUAGUUUUUAUAUGUUAUAAAUAUUUACAAGAAAAAUAAUUGAUAUAUAAUUUAUGAAAAAUAAUUUUGGUAACAUUAAUUUUUACAAUUUAGCAUAAUAUUUAUACAUAAAAAAAGUUGUUAUCUAUUAAUAAAAGAUUUUUUUUUAAAAUUUAUAUUGAAUGUAUGUUAAAUACUUAAUAUGUAGUAAAAUUUCUUAUCUAUUGCCGCUGGAAGAGGGUAUCUCUACUAGAAGUCUUACUGUUAGAAUAUUUCCAUUAAUCUUUCAAAGUUUUGUUGGGUAACUUGGCUUGAUGGCUAGAAUUUGAAUUGUUUUUCUUGGAGUUUAAUUGGGAAUUAACUAUUGUUUUAUAUUUUAGAUUUUUUUAUAUUUGAGAUGUUUUAUUAUGUAUUGGUGGUGACGACAUUGAAUACUAGAUGUAUUUUUUAAAAAAUUAAUUUGUUGGAUUGAAUGGAGGUUAACUAAUAUUAAUUGCUUUUAGUUUUUUUGACGAUAUUCAUUUUUAUUAGUUAAUUAAAUUUGUAAUUAGAAAUUCACAAAUAAAUUAUAAUCACAUAGAAUUUUUUUUUUUAAAAAAAUUGACUUUAUGAUGGGAAAUAAUCAUCAUAAUGUUUGUCAUAAAAAAUUUUGAGCCAAAAUUCAAUAAUAAAUUUACAAAUGAUAAUUUAAUUUCCCACCAAAAAUUUAAAAAAAUAGCGCAAAAAUUUAUAUAAAUUCAAAUUUUAAUUUAAUUAUUUUUUCACAUUAAAAUAUUGUGUGAUGGAUAUAUAACUGUAAAAUACUAUCAUGAAUUCAUGAUGGAAAAUAUUUUGUCAUAAAUUAAUGACAGUGAAAUAGAUAACAGAUGAACUGUCUGUCAUGCACUCCCUUUUACGAUAGUUAUUUCCCGUCAUCUAUUACCUGUUUUCUUGUUGUGAAAAUAGAUAUAAGUUUAAAUUAUCUUCUUUUUUUUGGAGUAUAUUUAAUGAUGUUUAGACAUGCCUUUUCCUUUUUAAAACAAGUAAAAUUGCAUAAAGUGAAAAAAGAACUCUAUAAAUUUGUUAUAUAAAAAAUAUGAUUAAAAUUCAUACUAAUACAUAACUCGAGAGAGAGAGAGAUUGAAUAUUAAAAACCAUGGUUAUAAAAUUAAUUUUAAAAGUUAUGGUUAAUUUUCAUGUGAAAUUGUUCAAAGUUAAAAAAAAAAUUUCAUAAUUAUAUACAUAUGUGUUUUAAUCUUAUAAUAGAAAAUAAAAGUAAAAUAUAAAAAAAAUACAAACUUACUAGGUCAAAACUUUGAUACUAGAGAAAAUAUCUAAUAGUUGUGUCGGUAAUUUGAUUGUGGUGGUAAUGUAAUAUCUAAUGGCUUAAUAUUAUGGUGUAUGAGAAAAUAAGACAAUUAUUUUUUUAAUUAAAAUAUUAAGGCUAUAAUAGGAACUUUAAAAAGGUAUGAUAGUUUAUUUAAUAAGCUGUUUAUGAAAAGCAACUCUCUACUUACUUUUAAAAGUCGUUGUCAAAAUGGAGAAAAUUAUGAAAUAAACAGUUUUUACAAAAUUUACCAAACAUUAUUUUUGUCACAAGUUACAAAAUAAGUUGCUUAUUGAGUUUCAACCUCAAUUCCAAACGGGGCAUAUAUUAUUAAGUCAACACCAGUUAGUCAUUUAGGUGCAAUAAGCAGUUUCUAUUAGAAAAUUCUGGUACAAGUGGCGUAUUAGAAAAUUCUGGUACAAGUGGCAGAGGGAAAGAAGUAAUAGAGUAAUAGGAUUCUCAUAUAACUAAUUAUCACCACAUUAUUGAAGUCCAAAAAGCUAUUAAGCUAUAUGGCUUGAUAACUUUUCCGAACUUUAAUAAAUCCAUGUUUUAGAUUGGAAUGUGCGUAUAUAAUUCACCUUAAAUUUUAUUAAAUAUUUAAAAACACAUAUUAACCUAAGUGUUGAUCUUGAAACAAUAAUAUUUACAUUAUUAUAGAAUUGAUCUUGAAACAAUAAUAUUUACAUUAUUAUAGAAUUCUUGAUGGAAUGGAAAAUAGAAAGAAGAAGAAUUGGGGUAAAGAGCAUGCACAAAGAAAAAAAAAGAAAAUCAAAAUAAUAACGAUCUUAAAUUUUCUGAUUUUAUUUGCUAACUAAUUAAGAAUAAUUUUGUUUUAUGAAAAUGUGUAACAAUAUAUGCGGAAUUAUGUUAAGUAUAAAAUUGAUUCUUAAAUUCAAAAUUUGUGGUGAUUUUAAAAAAAAUUAUCAAAAUUAAAUUUUUGAGUUAAAAAAUUAUCAAAAUUAAAAUUUUGAUUUAAAAAAUAUCAAAAUUAAAAUUUUGAUUUAAAAAAAUUAUCAAAAUUAAAUUUUAACUUCUUUAAGUGACUUUAGAGUCUCAAUAGUAAAUCUUAAAUGAGUCGUUAGUCAAGAUGAAAGAAAAACAAAUGUAAAUUAUUUUAAAAAGUCAGGGUGCCCCUUAAAUUUCGUAAUUUCUACCAACGACAAGGACCGAUCAACAAAAAAAAAAUCCCAAAAAUUUCGUAAUUUCUAGAUUGGGGACGUGAACUUGAUAGCGAUAGUUGUCCAUUUUGUCAUUGUUGUAUGCCUGUCUGUACCUAUUUUACUACUGUAUGCUCAAUUCAAUAAUUAGGGUACACAAUUUUGUGUGGCCAGCCUGGUUUCAUAAUUCAAAAUGCCAAUUUAGUCGUAUUAGUACCAAUUCAAAAAUUAAUCACGCAAAUGCGAGAAGAGAUGGAUACGAAUACUAACCAAGUUGAUAACAAUCCUUUGGCAUUCUGAUCUUAUCUGAGCUUUAGUUAGGGGAGCCUUGACAGAGACAAAUGAUAUUUAAACACUAUAGUGACAUUAAGAUGUGACUGAAGUUUUAUUGUUCAAUGAACAAAACAUUAUGGGUGGAACGUUAUUGCAAAAGAUACGAAUACUAAAUGGAUACGAAUACUAACGAAGUCGAUAACAAUCCUUUCGCAUUCGGAUCUUAUCCGAGCUUUAGUUAGGGGAGCGUUGACAGUGACAAAUGAAAUUUAAACACUAUACUUUAAAUUUUAUUCUGAACACUUUAAUUUUUAAUAAAAAUAUUAUUGCAAAAGUUACCCUAAUAUAAUUUACUAAUAAGAACAAGUCAAUUCAAGUUAAUAGAAUAUUAUUACUCUUAACACCAUUUAACACACGCUCAACCCAGUAAUCCAAUUACAGUUACACCUCAUAAAAUAUUAGAAGUUUCAUAAAUACCCAACAAGCUACCAACUAUAGAAGCUGAAUAAAAAAAAAUAGAAAUUUACGAGUAACAUUAUUUUGUUUUAAAAAAUAAAAAAUAAAACUGUAAGUUCCGAUUAAAAAAAUGAAAAAGAAAAACAAAUCAGUUGCUUAUUUCUAUUGCUUGAAGAUUAUCAAUGAAGAACAUGAAUUGGAUUCUAAUAUAUAACUCUCUAGUAAAGAUAAGAGAAAAUUCUCUUUUUUUAAAAAAAAAAAAAAUAUUAUUUCAUUUAAAGACAUCACAGUGAUAGAGUGAUAUUUUGUUAAACAGAGACUUAAAUAUCUUGUUAACAAUAAUAGACUUAUUUAGAAUGAAGUACUUUGAUAAAGAAUUAAAUUGGGUGAGAUCAUAAUCAUAUAUAAAUAAAAGACUGUUUUGGUAUAUAAAAGAACGUAUAGAAUAAAAAUUAAUUUUUAAAAUUUAUUAACUGAGUGAAAAAAAUCAAAUGAUAUUCAAAAUUAAAUUUAGAGUGUAAAUAAUUCCAUUAUAAAAUUAAUUUUAUCGUCCUGUGGAUUAGUGGAUUGAAUUAGAUUAAAAAUUUAAAAAUCCGCAGUCAAUAAAUUAGAUAUAGAUUUACUUCUAUAAAUUCAUAAAAAUCUGUAAAUUUGCAAAAACAAAAAUUAUUUAAUUAAAAUAUUAAACUUGUAAAUGUGGCAUUACUACUUACUAAUAACAAAAUAAGUUAAAAAUGUAGUUACGUUAAUAGCAUAUUAUAUCUUAUUCAUGAUAAUAUAAAAUAAAAAAUAAUUAAAUAAGUAAAAAUAGCUUCUUAAACAGUUAAUUUUCAUAAUUUUAGUUAAUUUUUAUGUAUUGAUUUAAAAAAAUGAGAUUGUUUCUUCUUGUUGUUUUAUAUUUGAAACUUUGAAUGUAUUUUUCUAGUUUUAUUUAAAUGAUUAAUUUAUUUAAAUCUUAUUAAAUUUUAAAUUUGACAAAAUUAAAAAUUCUUAACUUACCUGCUGUACGGCCAAGGCGGAUGUACGGUACAGCAGAGACUGGGGUUUCUUUCAGGUACAUAACAAUUUAGCAGUGAUAUUCAGAUAAUAAAAAUUAGACAAAACGUUUACAAAAAACAAAGUAAAUCAGUACCGGAUUAGUCACUUGAUUGUAAACCCAUUAAACAGACACUGAUUUAUCGUUGUUUUUGUCAGCAUUUUAUCAGCUCUCCGUUUCUUUAGCUUUUUCCAUAAAAAUCAUUUUGUUUCCAGAACUUCAAAAUUUCCUUUAUGAACCAUGUAUAUAUGGAAAGAACAUCUUGCUUUAAUUUGCAUAUAUGCAGUUGAUGAAUCAUGGAGUGAGCAGUUCAUUGGUGGAGAAAGUGAAAGCAGAGAUUCAAGAAUUCUUUAAUCUUCCAAUUGAUGAGAAAAAGAAGUUUUGGCAGCAGCCAGGAGAUAUUGAGGGAUUUGGGCAGCUUUUUAUUACGUCUGAAGAGCAGAAGCUUGAUUGGGGAUACGGCUUUACUAUGUUCACUCUCCCAACCCAUCUGAGGAAACCCCACUUGUUCCCCAAGUUGCCUCUUCCAUUCAGGUUCUAUACUUAAAUUUUAGACUUUUCUUAUAUAGAAUAUUCUAUCUUAUGAUAAUUACUGGACUAUAUAUUAAGUACCGGAUUAGUCACUUGAUUGUAAACCCAUUAAACAGACACUGAUUUAUCGUUGUUUUUGUCAGCAUUUUAUCAGCUCUCCGUUUCUUUAGCUUUUUCCAUAAAAAUCAUUUUGUUUCCAGAACUUCAAAAUUUCCUUUAUGAACCAUGUAUAUAUGGAAAGAACAUCUUGCUUUAAUUUGCAUAUAUGCAGUUGAUGAAUCAUGGAGUGAGCAGUUCAUUGGUGGAGAAAGUGAAAGCAGAGAUUCAAGAAUUCUUUAAUCUUCCAAUUGAUGAGAAAAAGAAGUUUUGGCAGCAGCCAGGAGAUAUUGAGGGAUUUGGGCAGCUUUUUAUUACGUCUGAAGAGCAGAAGCUUGAUUGGGGAUACGGCUUUACUAUGUUCACUCUCCCAACCCAUCUGAGGAAACCCCACUUGUUCCCCAAGUUGCCUCUUCCAUUCAGGUUCUAUACUUAAAUUUUAGACUUUUCUUAUAUAGAAUAUUCUAUCUUAUGAUAAUUACUGGACUAUAUAUUAUUAUUUGCAUGCAGAGAUGACUUGGAAGUUUACUUAACGGAACUUAAAAAUCUUACCUUGAAAAUCCUUGACCUAAUGGCUAAAGCUCUAAGAAUGGAUCCCAAUGACAUGAAAGAGCUGUUUGAAAACGGGAUGCAAUCAUUAAGGAUGAAUUAUUAUCCUCCUUGUCCGCAACCAGAGCAAGUUCUCGGCUUUAAGCCUCAUUCUGAUGGCUCCGUACUCACCAUCCUCCUCCAAAUCAAUGAGAUGGAUGGUCUCCAAAUUAAGAAAGAUGGAAAAUGGUUUGCUGUUAAGCCCCUUCCUGAUGCCUUUAUAGUCAACGUUGGUGACGUUUUAGAGGUAACACUUGUCUUUCUCUACAGCCUAUGAUAAGUAACGCUAUGUCUCUACAUAGUUUGUAUCUCUAGUAAGAGCAGUGCUAGGUGAAGAAGGAGAGAAAGAUGAGAGAAUUUUGUCCUCUCUCUCUACCCACUCACUCUCUCUCUACCAUUUUCUUCUUUAUUUCUCUCGUCUUUCUCUCGUGCUUCUCUUCACCAAGUAUUUUCCCUCUAAUAAUGUUACGUGACAUCUGACGUGUCUUUUAUUAGUAAGUAGAGUAGAAUUAUUGUAUAAUUUGUAUUAAUAAUAGAAAACUGGUCUCCAAAUUAAGAAAGAUGGAAAAUGGUUUGCUGUUAAACCCCUUCCUGAUGCCUUAAUAGUCAACGUUGGUGACGUUUUAGAGGUUAACACUUGUCUUUCUCUACGGCCUAUGAUAAGUAAGGCUAUGUCUCUCCGUAGUUUGUAUCUCUAGUAAGAGCAGUGGUAGGUGUAGAGAAGCACGAGAGAAAGAAGAGAGAAUUUUGUCCUCUCUCUCUCUACCCACUCACUUUCUCUCUACCAUUUUAUUCUUUAUUUCUCUCGUUUUUCUCUCGUGUUUUUCUUCACCAAGCAUUUUUCCCUCUAAUAAUGUUACGUGACAUCUGACGUGUCUUUUAUUAGUAAGUAGAGUAGAAUUAUUGUAUAAUUUGUAUUAAUAAUAGAAAAUAAAGUCAACUAAAUGCGAAUCUAGAAAUAAUUGGUGACGCGUCGCUUGCAAUAAAAACUAAGUUAAUUGUUAGCAUAGGAUAUAUAGUUGAUGACUAGUUUCAUCUAAUUUCUUCCUCUUCUUGAUUAUACUCGUUAAUUUUUUUUUUUUUUUGGUUCAAUUUAUGAUCCUGCAGAUUUUUAGCAAUGGAACUUAUCGUAAUAUUGAACAUCGUGCACUGUAAACUCAAUGAAGGAAAGGUUAUCUUUUGGUACAUUUUACAGUCCAAAAUCAGAUGGAGAAUUGGGUCCAGCACUGAGUCUUAUUACUCCAAAGACUCCAGCAUUAUUUAAGAGGAUAAGUGUGGUAGAUCACUUGAAAAGAUUCUUUUCAAGCGAGCUGCGUGGAAAGUCAUUUAUUGAUUUCUUGAGGAUUCAAAAUUAGGCGGUUAAAAGUUGUUGAUUGUUUUGAAUUACAUGAUAAGAUUAUAUGGAGUCCAUACCAAUAAAAUGAGUGAAUUAAUUAUUAAGUUGUGAACUUUUAAUUUUAUUACACACACAUAUAUGUUUACCUUAAAUUUUAUUGAAUAUUGAUAAAUUAAAAAAUAAAGUCGUGAAACACAUACUCAGUGAUGAUCUUGCAGGAAUGAUAUUUGCAGUAUUAGAGAAUUAUUGAUGGAAUAGAAAAACAAAAGAAGAAGAAUUGGGGUAGAAAGCGUGCAUGAAGAAAUAAAUGAAUAAAAAUAAUAGUGAUCUUGAAUUUUUUAUUUUAUUUUUUAAUUAAUUAAGAAUAAUUUUGAUUUUAUGUAAGAAUAUAUUUAAAAUUGUAUUAAGUAUAACAUUUGUUCUCAAAAUUAGAUUUACCAAUACUUUUAAAAAAAUUACCAAACAAAACUUAAAUUUUGAUAUUUUAAAAUUAUUUUUAAGUCAAAAUAGUAAUCCCAAAUGAGUGCUUAUUCAAUUACUUGGAUAAAACAAAAAUGAAUUUAAAUUUAAAGGACUUAAAUUAAUAAUGCAUUUUGAAAAGCCAUGGUCCUCUUCUAAAUUUCGUGAUUUCUACCAACGAUGCGGACCGAUCAACAAUAAAAUAUCCCAAUAGUUUCGUAAGUUUUAUGAUUGGGCACGUGAACUUGAUAGGCGCAAUUGUCUAUUUUUUUUCAUUGUUUUAUAUUUGUCUAUAUCUAAUUUGCUGUUUUACGACGUAACACUCGUGGAGGAAAAAACCCAAACAAAAUCGAGUACACAAGUUUGUGUGGUCAGCCUGGUUUUAUAUUUCAAAAUGCCAAUCUAGUGGGAUUAGUACCAAUCUAAAGCUAAACCACACAAUGUGACACUACAUGGAUAAGACUAGUAUUCCACUGUGAAAUCUAUAAUGGCAUUAGGAUUUGAUACAAGUGAUAGUAGGAUUAUUUUGGGUAAGACUCAUUUUCUUAGUAAAGAAUUAAAUUGGGUGAGAUGUAAGAUAUAAAUGGAGGAUUAUUUUGGUAUUUAAAAGAAUGUGCUCAGUAAAAUUAAUUUUUAAAAUUUAUUAAAUGAGAAUGAGAGUACAGAAUAAAGUGGUACUCAAAGUAAAAUUUAGAUUGCAAAUAGCCCAACAUUAAGUUGGCGAUCUUUUUUUUUUCUUUUAUCUUAAAUCUGAAAUAGGUAUGAAUGUUGCUAAAGUUUGAAAGGGUCUGAAUGCCUAUGUCAAAAUAAUAUAUUUGUUUUUUUAUUUUUUGACAUCUAGGUGUAAGUGGUAAGUUGUUUGUACUUAUUAAACUCAAAACAUUUUAAAUCUAAUAUUUUUACACUGAUGACCUUGAAAGUGUUAUAUAUACUUGAAGCUUAAACAGAUAUAUAUUUAUGGUGUUUUCUAGUACAAUAGUUUUUAUAUGUUAUAAAUAUUUACAAGGGAAGUAACUCAUAUAUAAUUUAUGAAAAAUAAUUUUGAUAACAUUAAUUUUUACAAUUUAACAUAAUAUUUAUACAUAAAAAAGCUGUUAUCUAAUUAUAUAAAAAAAACUAAAUUCAAAAUGAAUUUAUGUUAAGUACUUAAUACGAAGUAAAAUUUGAUAUCAAGAAAAUUUGUGAUAUGACAUCUAAUAGGUAAGUAGAAAAUAAAUACAUCUAAUGAGGGUAUUUGGGAGAAAAAAAGUUGAGUUUCCAUUCAAACAUUUUAUUAAUUCAGAUAAAACUGAAAUUUUACUUUUUUUUAUUCAAAUAAAAAUGUCUAAUAAUAAAACUUUCAGAUACAAAGGCAAACAAGCCAAAAUAUCAAAACAUCUUAAAUUAAGCCCAAUUAAGACUUUAGAUAUAAAAACAAAUAAACUCUAACAUUAUUUCAAUUGUCUUAAUGUUGAAUGGUGUACCCUUUAAUAAAUGGAAUGGGAUCUUCUUUUGAUCUAAACUAGGGCUGGAUAUAAAUCGAGUUUGGAUCAACCCGAUCUAAUUUUUGGAUUGAAUCGAAUUAAACCAAUUUGAAUAUAUUCAAAUCGAAUCAAAUAAAAAAUUCGGGUAAAAAAUUUAGGUCAAUUGGAUGAUUAAUCGAAUUUUACCUAAUAUAUCAUAUCAAAUUUUGCCGAUCAAAGAAAAGAAUUGUUGGAAAAAAAUUAAACUCAAACCCAGUCCAAAUAUUUAUGGUACAACAAGAAGAAAUUAAUACAAUAUCUUAGGGAUAAAUUAAAUCUUUUAGGUUUCUUACAAGGCAAACCAUUUAGCGGUGGAGAGCUGCAGAUCGGAGUGCAGCAGCAAUCGUGGUGGCGAAUGGAUCAACCAGCAGCAGCAGUCGUGGUACAUGACAGCAGAAUGCGUAGGCAAGUUACGGAUCGCAUUAGGGCUGCUUUGCUCUGCCAUGACUGCCGUCUGCCAUGCUAUGUUUGGUGAGUGCCGCCGGCUGCCACUGCGUAUGUGACUAUGUGUGGUGUGCUGCCCCUAUGUUGUGUUGUGUGUGUGAAGUGCCAUUGUGCUCUGUGUGUGAAAAGGAUACCACGAUGUUCGCUUGUUUGUACUUUGUGCUUGUAAAUUGAAAUGAUCAAUUAGGUUAGCUCAUUUUUUCUUUUUUUGGUAAGGGACCAACCCGAUUGGAUUUUCAGAGCGGAUUGGGUUUAAUCCAAUCCGAUCACGAUCUAAUCGGGUUUGUUUCUACCAACGAUUGGAUUAGGUUAAUAAUUCAAUCCAAACUGAACCCGAUGUUUUUUGGAUUAGUUGGGUCGAAUCGGAUUAUUUAUCUAGCCCUAAUCUAAACUCUACUGAAGUUUUAAAGAUUUCCAGUCAUAUAUCAUUUAGUGAUAAUGUAAGAAUAAAAUUUAACUUCUUUAUUUUUUUAAUUCAUUAUCUACUAAUCAACACCUAAAUUAUUUGCUCUACAAGUGAUCAUAUCAAGACAGAAGUCAGGAUCUUCUUGAAUUUUUAUAACAAAAUUAUUAUUUUAUUACACCUAAGUGGAUCACAGUACAUCCAAAGGACUAUUUAUAUAUGAGUUUCUUGUUAAAACACAACCCAACUAAGUCUGGAGGGGAGAGGGAGAAAAAAAAGAAAGAAAUAGCUAGAAACCAGAUAAUCCAAAUCUAUAUAAUAUGGAGGCAGAAUCGACAGCUAUUGGGAGUUCUCUCGUGGAGCCUUCGAUUCUGGAGCUGGCAAAUAAUAAGCCACUGAUCACAGUUCCUCCACGUUAUGUUCGCCCUGAGAUAGACCAUCCCCUGAUUCGCAACGACGAUUCUUCAGCACAACAAUUUCCAGUCAUUGACAUGCACAAGUUGCUCUCUGGAGAUGACUCAGAGCUUGAGAAGCUUGACCGUGCAUGCAAAGAGUGGGGUUUCUUUCAGGUAAAUAAUAAUUUAGCAGUGAAAUUCAGAUAAUCAUAAUUAGACAAAACGUUGACAAAAAAGAAAGUAAAUCAGUACCGGAUUAGUCACUUGAUUGUAAACACUGUAAACAGACGCUAACUUAUCAUUGUUUUUGUUAGCAUUUUAUCAGCUCUCCGUUUCUUUAGCUUUUUCCAUAAAAAUCAUUUUGUUUCCUGAACUUCAAAAUUUCCUUUAUGAACCAUGUGUAUAUGGAAAGGACAUUUUCCUUUAAUUUGCAUAUAUGCAGUUGAUGAAUCAUGGAAUGAGCAGUUCAUUGGUGGAGAAAGUGAGAGUAGAGAUUCAAGACUUCUUUAAUCUUCCAAUUGAUGAGAAAACGAAGUUUUGGCAACAACCAGGAGAUAUUGAGGGAUUUGGGCAGCUCUUUAUUGCGUCUGAAGAGCAGAAACUUGAUUGGGCAUAUGGCUUUACUUUGAUCUCUUUCCCAACUCAUCUGAGGAAAUCCCACUUGUUCCCCAAGUUGCCUCUUCCAUUCAGGUUCUAUAGUUGAAGCGUAUCGUUUUGCUAUAUGGUAUAUUCUAUCUUAUGAUAAUUACUGGACUAUAUAUCGUUAUUUGCAUGCAGAGAUGACUUGGAAGUUUACUCGACAGAACUUAAAAAUCUUGCCCUGAAAAUCCUUGACCAAAUGGCCAAAGCUCUACGAAUGGAUCCCAAUGAUAUGAAAGAGUUGUUUGGAAACGGAAGGCAGUCAUUAAGGAUGAAUUAUUAUCCUCCUUGUCCGAAACCAGAGCAAGUUCUUGGCUUUAAGCCUCAUUCUGAUGGCGCCGCACUCACCAUCCUCCUCCAAAUCAAUGAGAUGGAUGGUCUCCAAAUUAAGAAAGAUGGAAAAUGGGUUGCAGUUAAACCCCUUCCUGAUGCCUUUAUAGUCAAUAUUGGUGACGCUUUAGAGGUAACACUUGUCAUUUUCUAUAGCGUAUGAUGACUAAUGCUAUAUUCUACGCAGUUUGUAUCUCUAGUAAUGUUUUGUGACAUCUGACCUUCAUUGUAAGUGGAGUAGAAUUAUUAUAUAAUUUGUGUUAAUGAUAUAAUGAUAGAAAAUAAAGUCAUCUAACACCGAAUUCAUAAGAAAAAAAAAAGGGUUGGGAACACCUUGCUUGCGAUAAAAAUGAUGUUGUUAGGAUGGGAUAUGUAGAUGAUAACUGGUUUCAUAUAUUUAUGUUAUUUUUUAAUUUAUUUACUUUAUGUGUUUAUAGAUUUUUACCAAUGGAACUUAUCGUAGUAUCGAGCAUCGUGUGACUGUAAACUCAGUGAAGGAAAGGUUAUCUUUUGCUACAUUUUACAGUCCGAAAUUAGAUGGAGAAUUGGGUCCAGCACCAAGUCUUAUUACUUCGAAGACUCCAGCGUUGUUUAAAAAAAUAAGUGUGGUAGAUUACUGGAAAAGAUUUUAUUCAAGUGAGCUGCGUGGGAAGUCUUUUAUUGAUUUCUUGAGAAUGCAAGACCAGGGCACUUAAAAGUUAUUGAUUGCUUCCAGUUAUACGACGAGAUUACAUGGAGUCCAUUCUGAUAAAAUAAGUCAAUUAAGUUGUGAACUUAUUCUGUUGGAUUGUGUUUAGACUUGCUGGGCUGUGUAUACUUCAAUGGAUAAACUUAAAUAAGUUUACGGAGUUGUGUAACUUGUAUUUGUAUGUGAAUUAUAACUUGUAGAAAAGUUAAAAUAAAAUUACAUAAUAAAUUUUGUGUAGAUUCUAUGUUUCUUUGUCGAUUUAUAUAUAUCUGCAGUUUCAAUUGUUGUCCUAGGACCUGAUUUGAACCUACAAUUGAGAUUGGCGUAUGAUGACUUGAAGUGAUUAUUUUCAACAAAUGUGACUUCUUUCUAUUGGACCAGCAAAUUAAUGUGUUUGCCUGGAAAGUUUGGAAGAUGACAAUUUUCAAUUUUGCUUUUGAAAAGAUGAUGUUUAUGAUGGUCCCUUUAAAAUCAUAUUAAUUGUCAAACACGUGGUGCUCUUUCAUGGAAAAAAACUUAUAAUAUUUUUCUUCCACUCAUCGUGGUCUAUCUUUUCAUUGACUCUAUAUGGAAAAAUUAUAUCAAACAUCCAACAUUGUUUAAAAAAUAGUAAAAAUAAAUUGAUGAAGAAAUAUGAGACAAAAGUUAAAAGUUACAAAAAGAUUGUUAGUUUUUUUUUUUUUUUUAAUAAGAUAACAUAGUGCUUUUUCAUACAGAAAACUUUGUAUGUCUCCCUUUUAUAGAGAAACAUUUUACGGAUAUCUUUUUAAGUUAAAUUAGUCAUUCAUGUAUCUCAUAAUUUAAUUCAACUUGAAUAAUUACAAUCACAUACAGAUUUAGUUUAUUCAACUCUAAAUUGUAAUUAAAUAUAACAUAUGACUAAUUUCAAAUCAAAUGCAAAGAAAAUUGAUCCUGCUUUCCUUUAAUGUGAGACAUUAGUAUUUUAAAGUAUCAAUAAAAAAUAAGAGAUCCCUUAUAUAAUGAUAUAAGUUACAUCGAUCAUAGAAUUGCACUAGACAAUCACAAAGUACUUAGAUCAUUAAGGGAUCAAGAUCCAACAAAAUUCCAAAAAACAAGUCAGGCCACGUGCAAACCUAAUGUAUCUAUCCUUUAUGCUGAAUAAUCUUUGCUCAAGCAGUGUGGUCAGACAUCCACAUUUGAAAAAUGCUUAAGCGUGCAUUGACUUUACAUCUUAUAUCAACAAAAAUUGAAAAAAAUAAUACAUGUAAUUGGCUUUCCAACACAUGAUUUUUUUUAAAUAUUAUUAUUAAAGAGUAAAAUAUAAAUAUUGAUAAAUGUUGAAGAUAUUAUUAUACAUUAGUUGAGAAUAUUUAUUAGGUUAAUAUUAUAAGAUCUCAAAUCUUUUGAAUUAGUUUUUGUGUAUAAAUUAGAAAAUUUGGUUUUUAUAUGAUAUUAGUGUCAAAAUCAUACAUGAGCAGUCUCACACUACCAUUCCAUUUCACAACGACCAUACAAGAAGAACAGUAUGAACAUGACAAGAGGUUUUGAGGAAAUUAUCCAACGUUUGGCCAGUGGCUAAGAAAAAUUACAAGGCUAUAUAAAAAUUUUAAGAUAAUACUCAACUCUUUAAAUAGUUUUUGAGUAUGACUUAGACUAUGGGCUCUUAUAAUAAAUAAAACCUAACGUACUACAGAGACCUAACUCGACAUAUCAGAUUAGGGCUGGGCAUAUCUGGUACAAUUCGGUUCAGUCGAAGAACUGAACCAAACUGAAAUCAAUCGAUUCUUUAAAGCUGGAACCGAAUACGAACCAACUUUUGAACCGUACCAAAGAUGAUUCGAUCGGUUCGAUUUUGUGAUCAGUUCGGUUCACAAACGGGUGGAUCGGUUCAAAAUGGAUGAGGAAGCCCUUUGCUGGUGAUUAGAUUCAUUCAACAAUUUAUUUAUAAAACACCCAACAAAUUAAACUCCAAUUUAUGAAUCCGAACUCACAAAAUUAAGGAAAACAAGUGUUUUGAAAUUCAGGUGUGAAAUGGAUUAUUGAGCAUGGCAGCUGCUACAAGCACACUUAAAAUUGAUUCAAUUGAAAACAACAGCCUCCUCGUGAACUUCAUGAAAAUUUAUUUGGAUGUUUCAAAUAAUUUGUAAUUAUAAAACUGACCUUUUCAUUUGCUUCCAAAUCUUUCCAUCAAAAUCAACGAAUAAAUAAAAAAUGUAAACACAAGUUACACAAGUCCACCGACACGACAGCAGCGGCGGGCUACCGACGACACGACCACAACGAACGGGAGGCGACGCUGACACGAGCACGACCGGAUGAACUACGACAGGCUGACACGAGCGCGAUGGCGACGACUACGGUGACAGGCUGGCUAAUAAGCGACAGUGGUGGAUGGAAUGUGUGUAUCAGCGAGAGUGAGACAGAUGGUGAGGGUGUAUGUGUGUGUCGGCUAGUGUGUGAGAGAGAGAUGGUGGGUGUGUGCAUGAUUUUAAUGUUUAUAAUUAUUUUAUUUAUUUAUAAAACCGAAAUUAAAUCUAAUUAACAUAAAUUUUGGUUCGGCUCGGUUUGGAAAACCGAAUCGAACCCACCCCAAUCAGAAUUAAAAUCCAUCCCAAAAAAAAAUAAAUUAAUAAACUCUUCUUCACUCUAGGGGUGUUCAAAAUCUAAUCUGAUUUGCUUAAUUUGAUCUACAAAAAAUUUGAUCUACAAAAAAUUUGUUCUAUAAAAAUCCGAUCUGUGGAUUAGUGGAUUGAAUUAGAUUAAAAAUUUAAAAAUCCGCAGUCAAUAAAUUAGAUAUAGAUUUACUUCUAUAAAUUCAUAAAAAUCUGUAAAUUUGCAAAAACAAAAAUUAUUUAAUUAAAAUAUUAAACUUGUAAAUGUGGCAUUACUACUUACUAAUAACAAAAUAAGUUAAAAAUGUAGUUACGUUAAUAGCAUAUUAUAUCUUAUUCAUGAUAAUAUAAAAUAAAAAAUAAUUAAAUAAGUAAAAAUAGCUUCUUAAACAGUUAAUUUUCAUAAUUUUAGUUAAUUUUUAUGUAUUGAUUUAAAAAAAUGAGAUUGUUUCUUCUUGUUGUUUUAUAUUUGAAACUUUGAAUGUAUUUUUCUAGUUUUAUUUAAAUGAUUAAUUUAUUUAAAUCUUAUUAAAUUUUAAAUUUGACAAAAUUAAAAAUUCUUAACUUACAAACUAACCCAUGGCCAUAAAAUUGUGGAUUGGAUAUGAAUUAGGUCAAAUACACAUCCGAUUCACAUGGAUUGAAUUUGAAUUGAAUUUCAAUAAUUCGUAGAUUGAAUUGGAUUAAAAAUUUAUAAUAUAAAAAAUUGUUAAUUGGAUAUGGAUUGAUAUCCAAUCCAUAACAUCUAAUCUGUGAAUACCCCUACUUCACUACCGUCAAGGAAUUGUUGCUUUUCCAAGUCGAAAGUAUUUAGUUGUCCAUUUGAUCAAUUAAUGUAUUAAGUAUCUUAUAUUUAAAGCAAUAUUUUUCAAAUGACCGCAAUUAAAAAAGUUAUUCUCUACUUCAAUAAUUGAAAACUUUGUAUAGUCUUGUUUAAUCACACGAGUUUGGAGAGAAAAGAGAGGUAAUUAAUCAAAAACUAUGUAAAGCAACAACGAUAGCAAGUUCUCUUCUGGAGCCUUCGAUUCAGGAGCUGGCAAUGAAGCCAAUGACGACUAAAGUUCCACCACGAUAUGUUCGCCCUGAUAUAAAAGAUGUAAUGAUCUGCAACAACAACAAUUCUUCAACAGAACAACUUCCAGUCAUUGUCAAAGUCAUGGUUGGGCGGUUUGGCACCAUUAACAUUUUUCAAAAUGGCCACCCAAAUUGAAGUCCAAGUAGAUGCCGCUCAAGGAAAGGAAAAAAAAAGGGAAAUUUUGACAAAGAAGAAAGACGAAUGAAGAAAAUGCUGCAAAUGGUGGUUGGCACACCAAAAUGGAAGAAAAGAAAAAAAAAUUAUUAUUUUAAUAGCCAAUUUUGGCUAUAAAUGGGGGGGUUCCCCAUCGGCUUAGAGCAUCCAAAUUUUUCAUUUUAUUUCUUAUUCUUUAGAGAGAAAGUGAGAGUAUUUUAAGAGUUUUAACAAACUCUUGAGUGAUUUGUGAUUUGAGAGUUUUGGGUGUAUUGGGGUUUUGGGUAGUGAGACAAAAUACCACAAUACUUGUAACUCAUUUUCACUAGUAAAAUAUUUUCCUUCUGUUUUUGCAUGUGGACGUAAGUUAAAAGCCGAAUCACGUAAUUUCUGGGGUCCUCUACUGUGCUUGUUCUUUAUUUUCUUCUAAUUUUAUUUUAGUUGUGUGUCUGCUUCACCCACCAAUUUUCUUAUAGUGGUAUCAGAGCUAUUGGUUGUAUUUUUUGGAGUUGGGUAUUGUUCACGUAUACGACACUGUUCACGUAUACGACACUGUUCACGUAUAUGAUACUAUUCACGUAUACGAUACUAUUCACGUAUACGACACUGUUCACGUAUACGACACUGUUCAUGGGAAACGGUGGGAGUAAUCCAAGAAUUUUUGCGGUGCAAAGUAGGGAAUAGUAGUGUGAGUGGAGUAACUGUGUGGUUUUGAACAUGUCUAGAAAAGUUCUGUCACAAAGGCGAUAAGAGCCUAAGGAGUCUAGGUUUUAAGUGAGACCGUUGUGACCCCCCCAGUCUUUCCUGGGAACUUUCCUGGUGUGCAUAUUCACACAUACUCACAACUAUUCGAGGUGAUACACUGGUUUGUGUACUGUAUUUAUCAACAAAAUGGCGGCAAAGUAUGAAAUUGAGAAGUUUAACGGAAAUAAUUUUUCGUUGUGGAAAAUGAAGAUGAAAGCUGUAUUGAGGAAAAAUAAUUGCUUGGCAGCAAUUGGAGAAGGUCCAUUGAGAUAACUGAUGACAAGUGGAAUGGGAUAGAUGGCAACGCCAUUUCUGAUCUACACUUAGCACUUGCGGACAUAGUAUUAUCCAGUGUGGCAAAGAAAACUACAGCAAAAGAAAUAUGGGAUACUCUCACAAAAUUGUACGAGACCAAAUCACUACACAACAAAAUUUUCUUGAAGAGGAAACUCUAUACUCUUCGAAUGGCAGAAUCUAUAAUGGUGACCGACCACAUCAACACCUUGAAAAUUCUAUUUUCACAACUCACAACGUUGGGUCAUAAUAUAGAGGAAAAUGAACGUGCGAAACUUCUACUUCAAAGUCUACUAGAUUCAUAUGAUUAACUCAUCAUCAACCUGACGAACAACAAUUCAAUGGACAGUCUAAUUUUCGACGAUGUUGCAACCUUCGUAUUAAAUGAGGAAAGUAGGCGAAAAAACAAGGAAGACAUACUGGUGAGUUCGCAGCAGGCAGAAGCGUUAUCAGUGACGAGAGGGAGAUCAACGGAACGUGGCCCCAAUGGGAGUCACAAUCAUGGUAGAUCCAAAUCCAGAAGUAAGAAGAAUGUUAAAUGCUACAACUGUGGUAAGAAAGGACAUGUCAAGAAAGAGUAUUGGAGUAACCAGAAGAGAAAAGAGGGCAAAGAACCUAAGUCAUCAAAUGCUCAGGGGUGUGUAGCAAGUACCUCAGAUGAUGGCGAAAUUCUCUACAACGAGGCAACAACUGUUUCAGAAGGCAGAAAACGAUAAUCUGAUGUCUGGCUUAUAGACUCAAGAGCUACCUGGCACAUGACCUCUUGGAGAAAAUAGUUUCACACAUAUGAACCUAUCUCAGGAGUAUCUGUAUAUAUGGGUAAUGAUCAUGCCUUGGAGAUCGCUGAUAUUGGUACUAUCAAAAUAAAAAUGUUUGAUAGUGCAAUUCGCACAAUUAGGGAGGUACGUCAUGUCAACGGCCUGAAGAAAAAUCUAUUGUCUUUGAGACAAAUGGAUAGUCAUGGGUACAAAACUCAUGUGGAGAAUAAAAUUAUGAAGAUCGUUAAAGGCGCGCUUGUAUUGAUGAAGGCAGAAAAAAUCGGUGCUAAUCUAUUCAUGCUUAAAGGAGAAACAUUACAGGAGGCUGAUGCAUGUGUCGCAUCAAAUGGAGAAGAGUCAACGAUGAUGUGGCAUCUCAAACUUGACCACAUGUCAUAACAAGAUUUGAAGAUUUUCUCUGAGCGAAAAUUGCUUCCAGGACUUAAAUCGGUACGUUUACCAUUUUGCGAGCAUUGUGUUACAAGUAAGCAUCAUAUAUUAAAGUUCAGUAGAUCUAUUGCUAGAAGUAAACGCAUUCUAGACUUGAUUCAUUAUGAUGUUUGGGAAUCGCCGGAUAUGACCAUGAGAGGUGCAAAGUACAUGGUGACUUUCAUUGAUAAUUAUUCUAGGAGAUGUUGGGUGUAUCUAAUUAGGAAAAAGUCAUAUGUAUUUCUAGUGUUUAAAGAAUACAAAGUGCGGAUGGAACUUGAAUCCGGAAAAAAGAUCAAGUGCUUGAGGACGGAUAAUGGUGGAGACUAUACAGCGGUGAGUUUCUUGCUUUCUGUAGGCAAGAAGGUAUUCAGAGGCAGUUCACGGUAGCAUACACUCCUCAACAAAAUGGAGUGGCAGAGCGGAUGAAUAGGAUUCUUACAGAACGAAUACGAGCUAUGUUGAGGACUGCUGGUCUACCCAUCUACAACUAUUGGGCUGAACACAGCGAUGGAGAUGUAGACUGAAAAGCCAGCUGAUUACUCCUACCUACAUGCAUUUGGAUGUCAUGUGUACGUGAUGUACAAUGCCCAAGAAAGAGCAAAGCUGGAUCCAAAAUCUAGGAGGUAUAUCUUCUUAGGAUAUGCUGAUGGAGUAAAGGGUAUCGUCUGUGGGACCUCACUGCCUACAAGAUCGUCAUCAGCAGAGAUGUUAUCUUUGUAGAAGAUCAACUGCAAAGAAAAGAUGAGGAUGAUAGCACUGUAAAAGAAAAGUCAGAGACUGUGCCGGUAUAUGUGGAAAAUCAUCCAGAAGAUUCAGAUUCUUCUGAAGCAGCACUAGAGCACAAGGAACAAGAACCAGUCGAGUCCGAGGCUCUAGAAUUUCAUCGAUCAACUCGUGAGAGACGACCGCCAGUAUGGCACUCGGAGUAUGUCACAUAGAUCAAUGUUGCAUACUGUCUUCUAACAGAGGAUGGAGAGCCAUCAACUUUUCAUGAAACUUUAAGCAACACAGAUGUUGCUUUAUGGAUGACAGUAAUGCAGGAAGAAAUUGAGCCUCUACACAAGAACAAGACAUGGGAACUUAUACCACUACCACAUGGAAGAAAAGUUAUUGAAAAUAAAUGGGUCUACAAGAUCAAGCGUGAUGGCAAUGACCAAGUGGAGCGGUAUCAUACAAGAUUGGUGGUGAAAGAAUAUGCUCAGAAAGAAGGUAUUGACUUCAACGAGAUAUUUUCUCCGGUAGUUCGACUCACAACAGUCAGAAUAGUCUUGGCAAUGUGUGCUACAUUUGACCUAGAUUUAGAGCAGUUAGAUGUGAAAACUGCAUUUCUUCAUGGAGAACUUGAAGAAGAAAUAUAUAUGCUCCAACCAGGAGGUUUUGCAGAAACAGGAAAAGAAAACUUGGUUUGCAGGUUGAACAAAUCUCUAUACGGUCUCAAACAGGCGCCGAGAUGUUGGUAUAAGAGAUUUGAUUCAUUCAUCGUGAGCCUUGGAUACAACAGACUCAGUUAAGACUAUUGUGCAUAUUACAAAAGGUUUGAAGAUAAUGAUUUCAUUAUUUUGCUGUUGUAUAUGGAUGAUAUGUUAGUAGCAGGCUCCAACAAAGAUCGAAUCCAAGAAUUGAAGGCACAGUUGGCUAGGGAGUUUGAAAUGAAGAACUUGGGACCAGCAAACAAGAUUCUAGGGAUGCAAAUUCACCGAGACAGAAAUAACAGGAAGAUUUGGCUUUCUCAAAAGAACUACUUGAAGAAAAUCUUGCGGGGCUUCAACAUGCAAGAUUGUAAGUCAAUUUAUACCCCACUUCCUGUUAAUUUCAAAUUAUCCUCAAGUAUGUGUCCUAGCAAUGAAGCAGAGAGAAAUGAGAUGUCUCGAGUACCAUAUGCAUCAGCAGUGGGAAGUUUAAUGUUCGCUAUGAUUUGUACAAGACCAGACAUUGCACAAGCAGUGGAGCAGUCAGUCGAUACAUGGUGAAUCCUGGUGGAGAGCAUUGGAUAGCUAUGAAGAGGAUUCUGAGAUACAUCAGAGGAACCUCAGAUGUUGCAUUAUAUUAAAGAGGAUCAGAGUUUACUGUAAGGGGCUAUGUGGAUUCAGAUUUUGCAGGAGACCUUGAUAAAAGAAAAUCUACUACUGCCUAUGUGUUUACACUUGUUGAGUGUUAGAAAAUGCAUAUUUAUAAAGGAGAAAACCGUCAUUUUACAUUUCAAGUCUUACUAACAACCCUUACUUUUAUGUAUUUAACCUUCUUGUGAUGUAAUUACGUGUGUGUUAUUUUAAUUAAGUAUUUUAUGUAUUUUAGGGGCAUUAUAGUCAUUUCACAAUAAAGGAGAGAUCAGACGGCAAAACGGACAUCACUUUUGAACUCAGGACGGUCGAAAACCUUAGGAGGAGCAUAAAAGGAAAAAUGACACUAUUCACAUGUACGGUACUAUUCACGUGUACGAUACUGUCUACGUUACUGUUCACGACACUGUUCACAUAGACGGAUCGAUAACGUGGCAUUGACCGAUGAUGUGGCAUUGACUGAUGAGGUGCCACGAUCCUGUUGGACUAAAAUUCUUAUNNNNNNNNNNNNNNNNNNNNNNNNNNNNNNNNNNNNNNNNNNNNNNNNNNNNNNNNNNNNNNNNNNNNNNNNNNNNNNNNNNNNNNNNNNNNNNNNNNNNNNNNNNNNNNNNNNNNNNNNNNNNNNNNNNNNNNNNNNNNNNNNNNNNNNNNNNNNNNNNNNNNNNNNNNNNNNNNNNNNNNNNNNNNNNNNNNNNNNNNNNNNNNNNNNNNNNNNNNNNNNNNNNNNNNNNNNNNNNNNNNNNNNNNNNNNNNNNNNNNNNNNNNNNNNNNNNNNNNNNNNNNNNNNNNNNNNNNNNNNNNNNNNNNNNNNNNNNNNNNNNNNNNNNNNNNNNNNNNNNNNNNNNNNNNNNNNNNNNNNNNNNNNNNNNNNNNNNNNNNNNNNNNNNNNNNNNNNNNNNNNNNNNNNNNNNNNNNNNNNNNNNNNNNNNNNNNNNNNNNNNNNNNNNNNNNNNNNNNNNNNNNNNNNNNNNNNNNNNNNNNNNNNNNNNNNNNNNNNNNNNNNNNNNNNNNNNNNNNNNNNNNNNNNNNNNNNNNNNNNNNNNNNNNNNNNNNNNNNNNNNNNNNNNNNNNNNNNNNNNNNNNNNNNNNNNNNNNNNNNNNNNNNNNNNNNNNNNNNNNNNNNNNNNNNNNNNNNNNNNNNNNNNNNNNNNNNNNNNNNNNNNNNNNNNNNNNNNNNNNNNNNNNNNNNNNNNNNNNNNNNNNNNNNNNNNNNNNNNNNNNNNNNNNNNNNNNNNNNNNNNNNNNNNNNNNNNNNNNNNNNNNNNNNNNNNNNNNNNNNNNNNNNNNNNNNNNNNNNNNNNNNNNNNNNNNNNNNNNNNNNNNNNNNNNNNNNNNNNNNNNNNNNNNNNNNNNNNNNNNNNNNNNNNNNNNNNNNNNNNNNNNNNNNNNNNNNNNNNNNNNNNNNNNNNNNNNNNNNNNNNNNNNNNNNNNNNNNNNNNNNNNNNNNNNNNNNNNNNNNNNNNNNNNNNNNNNNNNNNNNNNNNNNNNNNNNNNNNNNNNNNNNNNNNNNNNNNNNNNNNNNNNNNNNNNNNNNNNNNNNNNNNNNNNNNNNNNNNNNNNNNNNNNNNNNNNNNNNNNNNNNNNNNNNNNNNNNNNNNNNNNNNNNNNNNNNNNNNNNNNNNNNNNNNNNNNNNNNNNNNNNNNNNNNNNNNNNNNNNNNNNNNNNNGUCCUAAUAAAAGUCCUUGAUUUUAGGGAACUAUAGUCUGAAGUAGAAGCUAGUUAUAUGGGCUAAAAAAAUAUAGUGAUGCAUGAAAGAAAAAAAAAAUUGGUUUGACUAGCAUUUUUAUUUGACUUGAGAUCGUAUUAUUUCUAAGCUGAGGGCAUAUUUCUUUCAUCUUGGUGAGAGCAUGUGAUAUCACUUCUUUAUUAUUUUCUCUCAAUUACCAUUCAUUGGAGUGACUAUUUUUAUUAUAUUUAAUUUCUUUGUAAGAGUGUCACUACUUCCAGUGAGAUUUUGGGGUUUGACAUGUCAUUCUUGAAGGUAGCUAUGACAAAGUCUACUGGGCUGAUUCAUGUGGAUGAUUGAUGUGGGUGUGAUGUUUCUUUAGACUUGAGAUAAUGCUUAUACUUUUAUUUUAUUGUUAUCAUUAGUAUGAUUGAAUAAACAAGAGUGUUUUAAACUGCUGUACCGUACAUCCGCCUUGGCCGUACAGCAGAGCUUGGGUUGAAGGUGAAGUCUCAACAUGUGUCAUGGGCUUAAUUUGGUAAAUUUAUUUUCUCUUCCCCUCUAGUUUUUGUGGAUGUUUUGACUUCUCGUCGACAAAUAAUACUAAUCUUGUCUAGUACCGCCUUGGUUACACCGGCUCUCUAGUAUAAGGUUAUUAUUAUUUGGCACGAUAAGCCCUUAGCACCAUAUUGAUUAGAGCGUGGUUCAUGAGGUGUGGAUUCCCCCCUCAUGAUUUAAUUGGUAUUAAUAAGGCAUAUUUAGCCCAUGAUGCAUGUUGAUACGGAUCCAGAUACCCAAGUACACCAUUUCAAUAGAAUUCUCUUCAAUUUAUUCUCGCCAUUUCAAUUCCAAUUUUAGAAUUUAUUCUCGCCAUUUUAAUUUAAGUUUUAGCAUAUUCCAAAUCAUUUCCACCACAAAUUCAAUCCCCCAUUUACAAAAUUAAUUCUAUACACAAUUAAAAUCUAUCUCCUCGUGGGAUCGACACUCGUCACCAUUGAUCUAUACUACAAUAGAUUCGUGCACUUGCGAGUACAUUAAAAUUUGCACAACAACACUUACGGGAGGAGCUGUAAGCUGGGUUUCAAAACUGCAAACCGUUAAGGAAUUAUCUACAACAGAAGCAGAGUACAUGGCGGCUACACAAGCUUGCAAGGAAGCUAUCUGGAUACAAAGGUUAUUGGAGGAACUCGGGCACAAACAAGAGAAAAUUUCUGUGCUUUGUGAUAGUCAGAGUGUCUUGCACAUUGCAAGGAAUCUAGCCUUUCAUUCCAGGACAAAACACAUAGGAGUUCAGUAUCACUUCGUUCGAGAAGUAGUGGAAGACGGAAGUGUGGAUUUACAAAAAAUCCAUAUGAAGGAGAAUCUAGCAGAUGUUUUGACCAAGCCAAUAAAUACUGAUAAGUUUGUCUGGAUUAGAUCCUCUUGUGGCCUAGCAGAAACGUAGGUAACAUGAUUAUGGCGAAGUAGAAAGAAUAGUGUAGAGAUUGAUUGAUUCUCAAUUUAAUCUCCAAGUGGGAGAAUGUCAAAGUCAUGGUUGGGCGGUUUGGCACCAUUAACAUUUUUCAAAAUGACCACCCAAAUUGAAGUCCAAGUAGAUGCCGCCCAAGGAAAGGAAAAAAAAGGGAAAUUUUGACAAAGAAGAAAGAAGAAUGAAGAAAAUGCUGCAAAUGGUGGUUGGCACACCAAAAUGGAAGAAAAGAAAAAAAAAUUAUUAUUUUAAUAGCCAAUUUUGGCUAUAAAAGGGGGAGCUCCCCAUCGGCUUAGAGCAUCCAAAUUUUCCAUUUUAUUUCUUCUUCUUUAGAGAGAAAGUGAGAGUAUUUUAAGAGUUUUAACAAACUCUUGAGUGAUUUGUGAUUUGAGAGUUUUGGGUGUAUUGGGGUUUUGGGUAGUGAGACAAAAUACCACAAUACUUGUAACUCUUUUUUACUAGUAAAAUAUUUUCCUUCUAUUUUCGCCAGUGGACAUAGGCUAAAAACCGAACCACGUAAUUUCUGGUGUCCUCUAUUGUGCUUGUUCUUUAGUUUCUUCCAAUUUUAUUUUAGUUGCGUGUCAGCUUCACCCACUAAUUUCCUAAUAGUCAUCGACCUGCAGAAAUUGCUCUCUAGAGAUGAUUCAGAGCUUGAGAAGCUUGACCUUGCAUGCAAAGAAUAGGGUUUCUUUCAUGUAUACGUACUCUUCUUUGUUAAUUAUUGUCAUUUUCCAUAAUUUUAGCAAAUUAUCCAAGUAGUGCUUGUAUUUUCCCCAACACAAAAAAAAAAAAAAAAAAAAUCAUCUAAAACGUCCUCUAUUGUAUUUUUGUUGAUUCAUUGAUAUCAAUUUAAUUAUCAUUUUUUUUCACCUCCUAAAUGUUGAAUUAAUUUGAAUUUUAAUUAUUUGAAAUUAUGUAAAUAUUAUUUUAUCCUUAAAAAAUCGGAUCCAAUCGCUACAAAAAUAUGUUUUAAGUAAUCUUUUUGAAAAAAUAAUGAAAUAUGUAUCGAAAAUAAUACAAAAAUUAGUAUAAAAACUACAAAAGAUUAAAAAAAAAUUUCUUGUCUUGUAAUAAUUUUUUUCAUCCUAUAGUUUUUUUUUUUUUUUUUGGUUUUCUAGUAUGACGUACCAUUUUUAUACUAUUUUUUGUGAACAUAUUAUUGUUGUUUUGAAAGGAAAUCGACUGACUAGAUGAUUAGCUCAAAUUAUGGGAAUUAAAUGAGUAUUUCUUCAUGUUUUUCUGACUUCAAAUUAAUUUCUGUGGAACAUAUAUGACAACAACAUCGUGCUUUGAAUAAUUUGCAUGUAGCUGGUGAAUCAUGGAGUGAGCAGUUCACUGGUGGAGAAAAUGAAAGCUAAGACCCAAGACUUCUUUGAUCUUCCAAUUGAGGAAAAGAACAAGUACUGGCAUCGACCUGGUGAUAUUGAGGGAUUUGGGCAGCUCUUCAUUGCUUCUGAGGAGCAGAAACUUGAUUGGGGAUACGGCUUUACCAUAUUCACUCUCCCAAUUCAUUCGAGAAGACCCCACCUGUUCCCCAAAUUGCCUCUCCCAUUCAGGUUUUCUCUGCCUCUCAAUUUUUCUUUUUUCAUUUUUAGCCACACAACACACCAAUUAUUGAUGCAACGUUUCGUCCAUCUAACAAUACUACAAUAGUGCUGCAUUGCUAGAGAUACCUUGGAAGUUUACUUAACGGAAGUGAAAAAUCUUACCCUGAAAAUGCUUGACCAAAUGGAAAAAGCUCUAAGAAUGGAUCCCAAUGAGAUGAAAGAGUUGUUUGAAAUGGUGUGCAAUCAAUAAGGAUGAAUUAUGACCCUCCUUGUCAACAACCAGAGCAAGUUAUUGGCUUGAAUUCUCAUUCUGAUGCCUCUGCACUCACCAUCCUCCUCCAAAUCAAUGAGAUGGAUGGCCUCCAAAUAAAGAAAGAUGGAAAUUGGGUUCUCGUUAAACUCCUCCCUGAUGCUUUUAUCAUAAACGUUGGUGACGUUUUGGAUGUAGCACUCAUCACUUUCUACUGCCUUUGUUUUCUACUUUAACUUAGUGUUUUCUUAAUUCCCUUCAGAGCACUUAUAUUAAAUGAUGACCAAAUUAACUAUAAAACUGUGCAGGAUUACUUUGUUAAUUAAAUCUGUGAUUCUUCUGUGAACGUUCAGUUUGUUUAACAUUUUUCUUAUAUAAGAUUUUCUCAUGAUCUUAUCUAUGUCCUAUAUAAGAUGGGAUGCUAAGGAACUUGAGGAUAUGUAUGUCCUAUAUAAGAUUUUCUCAUGAUCUAAUCUUGUACUAAGCAAAAAUUUGUUCAUGUUCCACCCAUAACUAUCAUAACCUCUGUUAGGGAAGUGCAGGUUUAGCAAUUAUCCACAUUACGGUGAUUGCAACUUUUAUAUAAAUAUAAAUGUGGUAAUAAACAAAUAAAAAGAAAAAUUUGAACACAAUAAUUUACUUGUUUUGACGUAAAGCCUACGUCCAAGAGCAAAGACUAGAAGAUAAUUUCAUGAGCUAAUAAAUGCGAAUUAACAAAAUUAGAAAAAAAAAAUCUCAAAACUCAAAAUCCCAAUACACCCAAUUAGAUCUUGACUAGAACACGUAGGUUGAAACUCUUUCAAAUCUCUCAAAUUACUUUACUUGCAAUUGCUCUCAAAAUGUGAAUGCCUUCAAAUGACCAAAUGGCUUGGUAUUUAUCGCUAAAGACCAUUUUGACAAACAUUUGUUCAUUUGAAGGCAUCCACAUUUUGAGAUAAACUACAAGUGAAGCAAUAUUAGACAUUUGAGAGAGUUUAUACUUGAAUGUUCAAGUGAGGAUCCAAUUCGGUGUAUUAGGUUUUUGGUUUUGAGAGUUUUUUCUUCAUAUAAAGUAUGUUUUCAUGGCUUUUCUUUAUAUAUUUUUCUUCCAAUGUUUUCCCACAAUUUCUUUACUGAUGUCUCACUCAUGACAAAGUAUUUAUGAUCUUUAACUAGACAUAAGUGAAUAGUACCACAUACCUAUCUAUUGAUUUUUGUCCACUAUCUAUUGAUUUUUGUCCACUCCUCGUGAUUUAUCUUCUCAGUCUUUUCUUUAAGAGUAAGCUCCAACUCUUUCUAACAUAAGAGAUCCAUCACCUCAUAUUGCUGCAUACCAAAAUUAUUAGUACCAUUGAAUUUGUCCACUUCAAACUUUGCAUUAGUCACAAUAGUCAUCGCUGAUGAAGACAACAAUGAUGUCUCUAUCAUCUUUCUUAACCUAAAUGACCAAUGCUGUCAGUAGCUAUUCAUAAAUAGACUGUCUCCCAAGUACAAAUCGUCGUCUCCAUCGUAUGCGUGAAUAGUACCAUAUCUACAAAUAAUAUUAUUUACGUGAACAGUGUAGUAUACCCCAAGUAUGAACCUUUGGCUCUAAUACCAAUUUUUGCGGAAGCGCGGGUUGAGCAAUUAUCAAUAUUAUGGUGACUGUGACUUCUGCAGAAAUAUAAAUAUGGUAAUAAGAAAAUGCAAAAAAAUAAAUUAAAUACAAUAAUUUAUGUGGUUCGGCAUAAAAUCUACAUUCACGGGCAAAGAUUAAAGCUAAUUUCAGUAAUAAAUGGGAAUUUACAAAAUUGAGAAAAAAGCUCUCGAAGCCGAAAACCUCAAUACACCCAUUUGGAUCCUCACUAGAACACUUAAGUAAUAGCUCUCUCAAAUCUCUCAAAUUGAUUUACUUGCAAUUGCUCUCAAAAUGUGGAUGCCUUCAAAUGAACAAAUGGCUUGGUAUUUAUAGCCAAAGAUCAUGCAUGCAUUUAAUUCCUUUGUCCCCAAAAGCUUUGAAAAACGGCAACCAAAAUCAACAAUUUUGACAAAUUCAAGCGGCAUCUAGAAAAACCACCACAUUUUUCUCCAUGCAUAUGUCAACAAAAACAUGCCGCCGAUUUUGCUUUUUGAAAUUGGCGAGCGAUUAUUUGACUUUCAACAGCCUCGAUAAAGUUUGGCAGAAUAAUAAUAUGGCAUAACCAACAUAACCUGGGCAAAGUUUAGCAAAAUAAUAAUACGGGCAGAACAUUUGGCCGUAAAACGAUCUACAGAAGGAUAGACAUUCUCAAAUCUCAGCUUAUUUCUGUCUUUCCAAAUCAAAUAAAGCAGGUAAUAACUGGUGGUGACCCAAAUAUUAUAAAGUUGAGGACUAAUUAAUCUGAUAUUGAAAAAUAAACUCCCAUAAAUCAUUAAUCUGGAGACUUUAGUACAAGACAAAGCAAGGUCAAUAAAAUAACUAAUAGGAGGAAGAGGAUCCGACAACCAUCUGUCAAUCCAAAAAAUGAAUAAAGAAGCCAUCAGCAAUAACACUUUAAGAGACCAGCCUAUUAAGAGGAAUUAACAAAAAACCGAUUGGUGUAUAAUAAGUUUGUAACAAGCUUUAAGAUAGUCAGCAUACAUAGAAGAAUGAUUUUUAACAUUGCAUAAAAUCUUUUACAGGCAUGCAUGAUCUAUUUAAAAUAUCUAGACGACGAAGUCCAAGACCACCCACUGCCUUUAACAAACAAAACUGAUCGCAAUGAACUAACGCUAUCUUCCGAGAACUGUAAUCACAAGAAAUGAAUUUCCGAGACCAGGUAUGAAGCUGUUUGAUCAAAGAUUUAGGCCAUAAAUAAAUCUAGAUGCUAUAGAGCAAAGGACUGCGGAAAAUAGCUUUAACGAGCCCCACUCUACCGGUUUAAACCGUUUUGAGCGAUUUGAACUUUAUACUAUUAUCAAGAUAUUCAUAAUAUCUUCAUUAAUAAAAUGGUAUUCGAAAUAGAUGGCUUAAUUGUCGCCAUCUUUCUAAAGGCAAUGAAUUUCCUUUUCUGUUGUACUUUUAGAUAAUAAAAGGGUGUUAUGGAUCAUCCAGCAAAUCUUGAUCAUGAGUACUCCAGGUUUACUGGAUGGCAUGUGGUGCCUUCAAAGGUACAAACAUCCUUCCAAAGAAGUUAGAUGGUCUUUCAAGUUAGAGAUUAUUUCAGUUUUGAAGAGGUAAGCCUCACUAUGUGCUCUCCUGAAUUGAUGCAACUGUUUCUUUUAUAUCCAAAAAAAUUGCCCUCUCUAUCGAGGUUUCUCGAAAAAUUAAAUUUUUACUUCAAAUAUGAGAAUAAAAACCUAUCUUUAGGAGAACAAAAUUGAAUGAGGUAAAGUGAAAUUUAUAUUAUUAAAGAAGUAUUUAAUUAAGGGUGGUGAUAUUUCCACCCCACAAAUUCUGCAAAUCCACCCCACUUUUAAAAAAUAAUUACAAAAAAUUCUCAUUAUUUUUAAAAAUUUCAAAUAAAAAAGAAUUCAGAAGAAUUAAUCAAUUAAAUCUAUUUAAAUUUAUUUUGUUGUGACUUAGAUUUUUUUAUUAUAUUUGACUAAUAAGACUGCUUUAACCUAAAUUUAAAUUGACUAUUUUACGCUUAAAGGGUAAAAAUACCAAAAAUUUAAUUUAGCUUCAACAAUUUCUUAAUUUCAUACAAAAUUCAUUGUUUCUAAAUUGUUAAUUUUACUUUAUUAAUAUGAUUAUUAAUUUUUAAUUAAACUAACAUAAUGUUCUUAUGAGAAAAUUCUCAUUAAAUUAUUAGCCUGUCAAAUUUAUGUCAUUUACAUGUAAAAUAUUGAAAAUUAUUAGACGUCAUUUAAGAAGUGAUGGUUGUCGAAGCCAGUAAAAAUAAAUACCUACUCUAAAUAAAUUGUGUAUAGGGAUUGAGAAGGGUCGUGUCCACAGAGAUCGGUAAUUAUUUAAAUCCUUUUUAAAAUGUAAAUUGCAAAAUGGGGGGAUUGUUGACAAUAAUAAAAAUCAAAUUAAAAUAACAAGAAUGCAAAUUAAAAUUGUAAUUCAAAUUGCGAAAAGCUCUGGUUGAAGGAAUUAACUCAGCUUGAUUCAACUACUGAUAAUUUUAAAAUAACAAGAAUGCAAAUUAAAAUUGUAAUUCAAAUUGCGAAAAGCUCUGGUUGAAGGAAUUAACUCAGCUUGAUUCAACUACUGAUAAUUGAUUCAAAUAUAAAUCAUUGCUACUUAUGAAUAGACCGGUUGUAGCUACUGAGACCCUCUAAUAGCCAAUCUCUCCUUAACUAGUCGAUAACCAAGGUACGACCAUUGGUUAUUUCCCUAAUCAAUAGAUAACCCUAGAUACGAUCAUAGGAUUUAAUCAAUUGACAGCCUGAAAAACCAGAGAGACCCAAAUCCUAAUCAACAAACGCAUACGAUGGUUCAUUUAAAUUAGAUUGUUUAUUCUCAUAACACAACGCACUGCUAUGUUAUUUGUCACAAACAUUGAAAUCUUCAUACGAUGAAUCCUAUAAUUGACAAUAUAUUAAGUUGAUAAUUAAAUAGUGGCAUAUUAUCUAAUUAACAAACAUAAUCAUGACAAUAAUUUUGAGAAUAAACAAAUACCCAAAAAGUAAUAAAACAAUUAAAGCAUAAGAAAGAUCUCACAGUAAUGAUGAAUCAAAGCUUCAUUAACCUUCAACCAGAAUAAUAGGUUUAGUUCUUCAUAGAGAGAAGAGAAAAAUUUAGAUCUAGGGUUUCUUUCUUCUUCCUCUUUCCAAAGUCCCCUCCUCUCUUGUUUUUCACGUCUCCUUCCUCUUAUAGAGUUUUUCUAAAAAUAAAAUACUAACAUCUAAAAUAUUAUCUAAAUAUUAAAUUCAAAAGUACAAAAUUAACCAAAAAGACAAAACACGUUAAACUAAAAACUGCAGGUCCGUAGUUGACAGCACACCCCCACACCUUAUCAACAAAGUUCUUCUGAAGCUCAUAAUUUCUCAAGGAAAACAAUCAUCCCCAAACAUCAUCUUGUAGCUCAAUUUUAGCACCAAUCAAUAUAAUUGCACCUACAAAAAUAAAAUACAAGUAAAUCACUAUUAUUAAGUGCAAAACAUCGAUAUUAAAGGAAGUAAACAAUGCAAAACUAGUGCAUAAAUUGCACUCUAACAAGAAGUUAGAUUAAAAGUCAAAAAACUAAGUACCUAAAGUAUUAGAUACAAGAACACAUAUUUUUUUGGACAAGUGGGUCAUUUUAUGUCAUAAAGCAAAAUAAUUAAAUGGAACUUAUAUUAAAGCUACUUUAAUAGUUUUAAAAAACUAAGUAAAAAAAUAUAAGAAUGAUUUAAUUGAUUAAUUAUAUAUAUUUUUUUGUUGAUUUGUAUUUAUUAGAAAAAAAUGUGUAUUUAUUGCAAAUAUUUUGUAGAAGUGAAGGGGGUUUAGGCAAAUAAUUGGGUGGAAAUAUCCCCACCCCUUAAUUAACUAAAGGAAGAUUGUCAAUUCCUCCCCUACUGUAAUUAAUAUUUAUGAUUUGCGCCCUCAUAUUUUUAUAAUAGCCAAUAAUCCCUCAACAAUAUAAGUUUACAAUAUUACCCUUGUUUUUAAAUACACUUUUAUUCAUAUUUAUUAUAGAUUAAAUAAAUCAUGUGAAUGGAAAUUAAAAUAAAAAAAUUAAGUAUAAAAAAUAAGAAAUAUAUGUUUUCAUGUGAAAAAAAUUAAUAAUAAAAUAUUUUUCUUAUACUUUUUUUUAUUUUAUAAACAUUUUCUUAUAAUAAAUAUAUAAGAAAAUUAUUAUAAUAUGAUAAAAAAACUGCUGUACCGUAAAGAAAAUAUUUACAAAAUAAAAAAGUACAAGAAAAAAUUUUAUUAUUAAUUUUUUUGUUCACAUCAAAGCAUAUAUUUCUUGUUUUUAAUAUUUAAUUUUUUUAUUUAUUUUCUAUUCAUAUGAUUUAUUUAAUUUAUAAUAAAUAUAAAUAAAAGUAUAUUUUAAAAUAGACGUAAUAUUGUAAACUUAUGUUGUUAUGGGAGUUACUAGUUAUUAUAAAUACAACAGGGAAAUAAAUUGUAUAUAUUAAUUACAGUAGUGGGGAAAUUGAUAAUCUCCCUUAACUAAAUAUCAUCUUAAAGUAUAUGAAAACUGAAUAAGGUAAAGUAAAAUUUACAUUAUUAAAGAAGUACCAAUUAACUAAAUAUCGUAUCAAAGUAUAUGAAUAUAAAAAUCCAACUUCAUACAAAUGCUUGCAUAGCUAGAAACAUCAUAUUAACCUAUAAAAGAUAUCAAAUUAUCAAUAAGCCAUUAAGCCUCAACUUUUAAUUUCUCAUAAAGAUCAUCAUUAUCAUCAACUGAGUCCGCAAUCUUGGCUAAAACUCUCUCCCUUAUUUGCGGAUCUUCUCUUGUUAUUUUCAGCUAGGGAUUCUCUCAGGCUUUAGUUCUCCAAGAAGAAUCCAAAGAUGAAGCCGCAUUGACAAUGUAUAUCAACAAACAUCGAUCACCUAAAAAAAUAUUCCGUUGCGUAAAUAUACGGUAAAUAUAUAUAACGGGUCUUGCUAAGUUAUAUCAUAUGUAACGUAUAUCGACCAAAUUUUUUUUUUUUUUUAAUUUUUAUGACUCAAUUGUUACUUGUCACACAACUAAGGUUAUAGGACACUACUUUUAGGUCAACUACAAAUUACAUAUAAUGUAACUUAGUAGUUACCUUAAUGUAGAUUUCCCUUUGAGUAGUUAACACUAAGAAUGGUAUGCUUAAACUCCUAGCGCAUGUCAUAUUGAUAAUAUAAGAAGAUGGUUCAUUUGAGUUUGACUAAAAUGCCCUUGUGGACUUGUCGUACUAAUAUAUUUAACAACGAAAUUUAGGACUAGUUUUGUAAUGUUGUAGCUUUUAAAAUAAUUUCUAUUAGAUUUGUAGUGGACCUAAUCAAUUGUGAACAAAAUCAACUAAAUGUUCAGUAAAUUUUAUUUCUAAAAGUGUUGGGAGUAUUAAAAUUAAUUAUACAUAUUAAAUCUUAUUAUUAAAUUAUUGUUAGAGUACAAGUGACUAAAAUAGACAUAAUGUUAAGUGAAAUUUACUUCAACAAAUAGUCCAGGAUUCUAUACUUUAUUAAAGUACCAAAAAGUUAUUAAAAUAUAUGCUUUAAUAGUAUUAUAUCAUACACUAUUAAACUAUAUGGCUUAAUAGUAUUUCCAGACUUUAACAAAUCUAGGAUUCUAGAUUGGAAUAUAUAUAAUUCACCUUAAAUUUUAUUAAAUAUUAAAAAACACAUAUUAACCCUAUCUUGAAACAAUGAUAUUUGCACUAUUAGAGAAUUAUUGAUGGAAUGGAAAAUAGAGAGAAAAAGAAUUGGGAUAAAGAGCGUGCAUGAAAAAAAAAUCAAAAUGAUAAUAAUCUUAAACUUUCUGAUUUUAUUUGUUAAUUAAUUAAGGAUAAUGUUGGUCUUAUGUAAAAUAUGUAACGAUAUAGUAAAUUACCAAAAUUAAUUAUACAUAUUAAAAUUUAAAUUUUAUUUGAUGCUCAAAAUCAAAUUUUGUCACGAGUGAUUUCAAAAAGAAAAUUACCAAAAUUAAGUUUUUACUUCUUAAAUUACUUUGAAGUCUUAAUAGUAAUCUUAAAUGAGUCCUCAGUCAAGAUGAAACAAAAAUAAAUUUAAAUUAUUUUAAAAAGUCAGGUCCUCUCGUAAAAAAAAAAAGUCAGGGUCCCCCUUUAAAUUUCGUUAUUUCUAUCAAAAUUUCUGCCGUUCAGAUAAGAGUAAAAGUGUCUAGGAGCGUAUUUGCUGACCGUUGGAUGCAAAAUAUCUCACCGUCCUCCCAGUAACGUACGAUGUUCGACUGGCCUUCGACCACAAAGAAGAUAUUUGGUUUCAAAAUUUUGACCGUUCAUAUAAAGCCACCGAUCAAAUGGCUGAGUUUUGUUAUCCCCAAGUUGGACAUAAUCAAACUGCAAAAUACACGUUACUUUUGCAACCACGCUGACGUGGAAACAUAGAGUUAUGAAUCCGUUUUUGUCGAUAGCAUUGUUGAUGGCCCAGGGCCAAUGUGGUACUUAUGUAAAAUAAUUAUUAAGCUGUUUUUAGCAGUUCAACCAUUUUAAAAAUCUCAACCGAAACUUAUAGGAAGCGAAAAACCACAAUAUUUAAGAUUUUUCAAAUGUAUGCAGAGGCAACAAAAUCAAUCACACUUGUAGGGAAGAUUCCCAAUUCCAAAGUCAAUUUAAAAGAUUGGAGUAUUAUUUACCACGACGAAACCAGGAACUCCAGGGGUAUUUUGUCUACGUAGCCAUGUUGAAAAUAAUUCAACAAAUCGUAAGAAAGAUCCAAACUAACAAAAAAGUCCCCUUCUAAGUUUGCCAAAUGCUCUGCCUCCUCAGUAUCUUUUCCAGCUUCAAACCAUUUCAGAAACACGGCCAAACAUUCCUUAGAGGAAUCCACCCGAUUCCAGUUUCACAAAUUGAUUUCUUCAUCGCUUCCAUUGCCUUUUCUGUUUGAUCAUUCUGAAGAUACCCCGUUGCCAUAAGAUACCACGUCCUCACAUCAGGGUUCAGCCCCCUUGAUUGUGCAUUGUUGAUAAUAGCUUCAGCCUUCCCUAAAAGACCUUUUCUGCAAUAUGCAGCAAUCAAGGGAUUUAUAACAUGGAUACAAUAAUGUGGAUUCCCCUUGGGCCAAUUCACUUCCUCCAAAAUCGUCUCAGAAAUUUCCAGGUCGUCAAAUUUCAGCACAGAAGGAAUGACGGAGCCUGCCACCUUCCAACCGCUCGAGUUCUUUUUGCAGAAUUCCCAAACUCUUAAAACAUCGUCUUUAUUCCCAAAUUCCGCAUACUUUGAGAUAAGAAAAUCAUACGGUGGGUAUCUGUCUUGUCCACCCGUUGCCAGUCCCUCACAUUUCUUUAGCAUUGCAUGAGUCUUGUCCAGAAGCCCAGCUCUUGCAUACCCACUUGCUGCAAUAGCAUAAACUGACAAGUCUACAACAAAAUUGGGAUCCGAUUCCAUCAUUGUCACCAUCUUCUUAAUUCCCUUGCAAUCAGAAACAGCUGCAUAUGCACUCAGACGGAUGUAGAAUGUAUAAUCGUUGUAACCAAUACCCUUUUCUUCAAUUUCCAGCACCAUACUUUCAAUUUUCUCAAGUUUUCCAGUCUGAUAGUAAAGAUUAAGCAUACAAUCGUAAGCCAUUGUUUCCCUGUCUAACCCCAAAUCCCUUAAUGUCUGCAUGAUGGCUUCCGCUUUCUUCACAGACUCUGAUUUGUACACAGAAUCUAGUUUGGCAUAGCAAUAAAGCAAAGCAAUAUAAACCUCGAGAGCCCUUAAGUUUUCUGGAAUGUUACUGAAAAAAAUUUCUGCUCUUCUAUUCCCUUAUAAUGGAAAAUCAAAACCAGUCGAACAGCAAUAUCACCAGUUGUAAGUUCAAAGUAUCUUUUGUUCCACAUCGGUAUCUGGAGAAAAGAGAGAUUAUAAUAAAAGGAUUGCAAAAAAUAAAAUGAGACGACAAAAGCAUGCUAAACUGACAAACAAUACCAAACAAGUUUUGCAACAAGAUAAUUAAAAAAAAAAAUCAAUUAUCAAUAAUAGCUCAAAUUUCUUAUGCUUUCAAGGAAGCUAAAUUUGGCAGAACAUCAAAACUAUUUUACCAGCCAGUCAAUUUUCUUGAUUAAUAUAGGUACCCAAGAUAACGAGCAAGUCUUAGAAAACAAAAGCAAUAAAAUAUUACAACUAAAAUCACACAUCUGUGCGUGCUGUGAAAUGAUGUCGUGUUUGAAGGAUCCUUUGAAAAAUACACCAAGCACCCAAUUUAAUAUCAGCUGAUUUCGGUUAUGUUUAUAAAAGGUGAAAAUAUAUAAAAUAACAUUUGAUUCCAAUUCCAUAAUGCAAAAUCAUUAAAACACAGAGAAGUAAAGACUGAUGCAAUUGAUAACCCAAAUGGAAAAAAAAAAAAAUGAAAUCUGAUGAUUUAAUAAAUACCUCGAGAGCAUCCAAGUAACAUGCUUUGUUUAGCAACAGAUCCAUAUUGAACUCAAUGUCAUCUUUGCCUACGUCUUCUCCCAUUUUAGCCAUUUCAUCGAGCUCCUCAAACACCCAGACUGCCGGGCUUCCGACAGUCCGACUGGGGAGAUCUUUUCCGUUGAACCCCAAAAAGCACUUGUUGUUUGGUCUCGUGUUGUUGUUGUUGACAGCCGGGAAGCUCCCAAUAAACGACAAAAGCAUGCUAAACUGACAAACAAUACCAAACAAGUUUUGCAACAAGAUAAUUAAAAAAAAAAAUCAAUUAUCAAUAAUAGCUCAAAUUUCUUAUGCUUUCAAGGAAGCUAAAUUUGGCAGAACAUCAAAACUAUUUUACCAGCCAGUCAAUUUUCUUGAUUAAUAUAGGUACCCAAGAUAACGAGCAAGUCUUAGAAAACAAAAGCAAUAAAAUAUUACAACUAAAAUCACACAUCUGUGCGUGCUGUGAAAUGAUGUCGUGUUUGAAGGAUCCUUUGAAAAAUACACUAAUGAUGUAGGAAACCAAGCACCCAAUUUAAUAUCAGCUGAUAUUUCCGUUAUGUUUAUAAAAGGUGAAAAUAUAUAAAAUAACAUUUGAUUCCAAUUCCAUAAUGCAAAAUCAUUAAAACACAGAGAAGUAAAGACUGAUGCAAUUGAUAACCCAAAUGGAAAAAAAAAAAAAUGAAAUCUGAUGAUUUAAUAAAUACCUCGAGAGCAUCCAAGUAACAUGCUUUGUUUAGCAACAGAUCCAUAUUGAACUCAAUGUCAUCUUUGCCUACGUCUUCUCCCAUUUUAGCCAUUUCAUCGAGCUCCUCAAACACCCAGACUGCCGGGCUUCCGACAGUCCGACUGGGGAGAUCUUUUCCGUUGAACCCCAAAAAGCACUUGUUGUUUGGUCUCGUGUUGUUGUUGUUGACAGCCGGGAAGCUCCCAAUAAGUUUGCAUGACUAAAUUGGGUUUUCUUAAUCCUGUGCAAAAUAGCACCCAACCGUAACAUCAGUGCAGCCUACUGAGAUAUUGUACAUGGAAGAAGAAAGUGAUAGCCGAUUGUUAUAAAAUAUAUAUCCAAAGGUUUCUUGGGAAAGAAGCAAUCAAUGACUGUCAGUUAUGGGGGUAAAUUUGUAAUUGUAAUCGACGACAGUUUUUACGGUUUAUUAUAUUUUGUUUUCGAUUGAAAGCGAAAAGGCUAUAGUUGAACUAAGUCAAAUUAAAUAUCACGUUGAAAGUAUUACAAUCAGACCUCUACUUAUAUCAUUUGAUAUAUACAUCAUAAUUAGAGCACCACUCAUAUAUUUACAAUUAAAUUUUUAUUGAGAUCAACCUACAUUAAUUCUGUUGUGACACACUUCAAACUAAUUACACAAUAUUUACAAUCAGCUAUUUAUGGUGAUUGAUCAAAAUCAAUUUCAUUAUUGCACAGCCCAACCCAAGUAUUGUAAUAUUUACAGGCGUAAGAGUAGCUGGGAUGCACGGGUUAGGUGACAGUGGGCUCAGAGUCAGUUUCAUUAUAAGCUUCUUCUAAUAUUUAAGAUCUAUUUGCUAUAAUAAUAAUUUUACUUCGUUGAGAUAUUUAAUAUGUAUACCAACAGAUGUGUAAGUGAUUAUGUUGUAUUAUUUGAUUGGUUCAAGUGAACUUAACUACUCAGUCUUAUCAUUUCAUAUCUAAAUGAUAAAUUUAUAUUGGUGACACAUUAAUUAGUACACCAAUUAAGAAUCCUAACUAAAUGAAUAUAACAUUUCGUUACUCAUGAAGCAUAGUUAUAGUGGAUAUUUCACUCUCAUUUCUCCACAUCAUCCUCCACUUCUCAAUUCACCCCACUAAAAAUUUUAAAAUAAUUUUUUUAUCACUCAAUUUAUCCUGUCUAAUCCUCACUUUACUCUUAUGACAAUUUUUAUCCUCUUCUCAUACACUCCACCGUAUAAAACUUUAAAAAUCUGCUUUAAAAACGAAAAGGGACUCUUUGAUAAUCUCUGUGGGUUCAUUAUCAGUGCAGCCGUGGGUUUCUUUCAAAUAUUAAAAAUGUUUCUCAAUUAUAAUCUCCCAAAUUGCCAUCGUAGAACAAAAACACUCAACAAAAGCCAAAAAAAUAAAAAUAAUAAUAAAUGCUUGAUAGAAAGUGGAUUAGAUUAACAAAAGAAACGAAACAUAACAUUGCAUUUUUCGCCUUGAAAAUGGAAUUGAAAGGCCCUCUCAAUUUGUUUCUCUACCUCUGUUAUAACAGGAAUGACAUUUUCGAAAAAAUGAUUAUAAAAUAAUGUAAUGAAGAAUCUCUUUGAAUCUAGCUGUUGGAGAUCUUCUAAUCUAACCUCUCUUUAUAAUUUAUUAUGAUAUUUAAUUAGAGCAAAGUUUAGACCAGACUUUACAGAUUGUUAACUUUAAACAUUCAUUGCAUACUUUGCUGUUUGUAGGGUGAAGAAAGGAAGUGAAAAUAUUAAUCCUAUUACUGUUACACCUCAUAAAAUAUUAAAGGUUUCAUAAAUACCCAACAAGUUACCAACUCUAGAAACUGGAUAAAAAAAAUUUACGAGUAACAUUGUUUGGUUUUGAAAAUAAAAAAUAAGACUGUAAGUUCCCAAUUGAAAAAAUGAAAAAUAAAAACAAAUCAGUUGCAUAUUCUAUUGCUUGAAGAUUAUCAAUUAAGAGCAUGAAUUGGAUUCUAGCACAUAACUCUCUAGUAAGGAUAAGAGAAAAUUCUCUUUUUAAAAAAAAUACUAUUUCAUUUAAAGGUAUCAUAGUGAUAUUUUGUUAAAGAGAGGCUUAAAUAUCACUUUAACAAAAAUAGAAUUAUAUAGAAUGAAGUUCUGUGAUAAAGAAUUAAAUUGUGUGAGAUAUAAUAAGAUAUAAACAAAAGACUGUUUUGAUACAUAAAAGAGUAUAGAAUAAAAAUUAAUUAUAAAAUUUAUUAAAUGAGUGUAAAAAUCAAAUGAUAUUCAAAAUUAAAUGUAGAGUGCAAAUAAUUCAUUCUAAGAUUAUCUUUAUCGUCUUAAUGUUGCACUAAUCAGUGUCCUUAUAAAAGUCAAAAUUCUCUCGAAUUUUCAUAUUAAAAUUGAUAUUUUAAAGCACACAAUUACAGUACAGUACAUCCUGAGGAUUAUUUAUACAUGAAUUUCUCGUUAAAACACAGACCAGCUGAGUCUACAGCAGAGAAAAGAAACAAAAAUGUAAUAGCUAGAAAUCAGUUAAUCUAAAUCUAUAUAAUAUGGGGACCAAAGCAACAGUUAUUGGGAGUUCUCUGGUGGAGCCUUCGAUUCUGGAGCUGGCAAAUAAUCAGCCACUGAUCACAGUUCCUCCACGUUAUGUUCGCGCUGAGAUAGACCAUCCCCUGAUUCGCAACGACGAUUCUUCAACACGACAACUUCCAGUCAUUGACAUGCACAGGCUGCUCUCUGGGGAUGACUCAGAGCUUGAGAAGCUUGAGCAUGCAUGUAAAGACUGGGGUUUCUUUCAGGUACAUAAUAAUUGAGCAGUGAUAUUCAGAUAAUAAAAAUACUUGAUCGCAAAUCAUUGCUUUUGUUAGCGUUCUUUCGGCUCUCGGUGUUUUUAGCAUUUUCCAUAAAAAUCAUUUUAUUUCCUGAGCUUUAAGUUUCCUAUAAGAACCAUGUAUGGAAAGAACAGCUUGUUUUAAUCUGCAUAUAUGCAGUUGAUGAAUCAUGGAGUGAGCAGUUCAUUGGUGGAGAAAGUGAAAGAAGGAUUCAAGACUUCUUUAAUCUUCCAAUUGAUGAGAAAAAGAAAUUUUGGCAGCAGCCAGGGGAUAUUGAGGGAUUUGGGCAGCUUUUUAUUACGUCUGAAGAGCAGAAGCUUGAUUGGGGAUACGGCUUUACUAUGUUCACUCUCCCAACCCAUCUGAGGAAACCCCACUUGUUCCCCAAGUUGCCUCUCCCAUUCAGGUUCUAUAUUUAAAUCGUAGAGUUUUGCUGCAUAGUAUACUCUAUCAUAUGAUAAUUAAUGGACUAUAUAUCGUUAUUUGCAUGCAGAGAUGACUUGGAAGUUUACUUAACGGAACUUAAAAAUCUUACCUUGAAAAUCCUUGACCUAAUGGCUAAAGCUCUAAGAAUGGAUCCCAAUGACAUGAUAGAGUUGUCUGAAAACGGGAUGCAAUCAUUAAGGAUGAAUUAUUAUCCUCAUUGUCCGCAACCAGAGCAAGUUCCUGGCUUUAAGCCUCAUUCUGAUGGCUCCGUACUCACCAUCCUCCUCCAAAUCAAUGAGAUGGAUGAUCUCCAAAUUAAGAAAGAUGGAAAAUGGGUUGCUGUUAAACCCCUUCCUGAUGCCUUUAUAUUCAACAUUGGUGACGUUUUAGAGGUAACACUGGUCAUUUUCUAUAGCCUAUUAUAAGUAACGCUAUGUCUCUACAUAGUUUCUAUCUCUAGUAAUGUUAAGUGACAUCUAACAUGUCUUUUAUUGGUAAGUAGAGUAGAAUCUUUGUAUAAUUUGUAUUAAUAAUAGAAAAUAAAGUCUACUAACAGCAAAUUUAUAAUAAGAAAUAAUUGGUGACACGUCGCUUGCAAUAAAAGCUAAGCUGUUAGCAUAGGAUAUGUAGUUGAUGACUAGUUUCAUCUAAUUUUUUCCUCCUCUUGAUUAUACUCUCUAACUUUUUUUUUUUUUAGGUUCAAUUUAUGAUCCUGUAGAUUUUUAGCAAUGGAACUUAUCGUGAUAUUGAACAUCGUGUGACUGUAAACUUAAUGAAGGAAAGGUUAUCUUUCACUACAUUUUACAACCUAAAAUUAGAUGGAGAAUUGGGUCUAGCACCAAGUCUUAUGAAAUUUCCAUGCGGAUACACUUUAAAACCACAUGGUUUAAAAGAAUUAGUUUUUAAAUCUUUUAAAACUCACAGUUUUAUAGUUCAUUCACAAACUAUUUUUUUUUAAAUCACACAGUUUAAAAUUGUGACCGCAUUAAUAAAAAUGCGGGCGUCCGCACCUGAGAAUAAAUUUUAUUGAAUAUUGAUAAAUUAAAAAAUAAAGUCGUGAAACAUAUACUAAGGUGACGUUUGUUUUUUAACUUAAUGACUUAAAGUGACUUAACUUAAUUAAUUAAGUUAAUUAGAUGUGUUUGUUUUUUUUAUAAUUUAUUUUUCAUGUCUAUCCCAAAACUCACCUAUAGAUAUUUACCCCAUAUAAAAAUAUCCAUGUUUUUUCUUUCUUAUAUUAUAUAUGAUAAAAUUUGAAAUUUAUGGUAUUUUAUAUAUUAAAAUUCUAAAAUAAUUAUGUAUUCACUUGAAUAUAGUUUUACUUAUAAAUGUUAAAAUAUUGUGGUAUUUAAUAUAUUAUUUAUUUGACAUUCAAAUUUAAUAAGGAUACAAAUGUAAAAGUACAUAUUUUCAGCUUUUUAAGUUGAAAAAAACAAACAACUUAAUACUUAUUUUUUGAGAUUCAGACAAAAAAAUAAACAUAUUAUUCAUAUUCAGACAUUCAGACUAAUUCAGAUCUAUUCAGAUUUCAGACAAAAAAACAAACGCCACCUAAGUGUUGAUCUUGUAGCAAUGAUAUUUGCAGUAUUGGAGAAUUAUUGAUGGAAUAUAAAAACAAAAGAAGAAGAAUUGGGGUAGAGAUCGUGCAUAAAGAAAAAAAAAACGAAUAAAAAUAAUAGUGGUCUUGAAUUUUUUUUAUUUUAUUUCUUAAUUAAUUAAGGAUAAUUUUUUUUUAUGUAAUAAUAUAUUUAAAAUUAUUUAAGUAUAAAAUUUGUUCUCAAAAUUAAAGUUAUCAAUAAUUUUAAGAAAAUUACCAAACAAAAUUAAAUUUUAAUAUUUUAAAAUUACUUUUGAGUAAAAUAGUAAUCUUAAAUGAGCCCUUAUUCAAUUACCAGGAUAAAACGAAAAUGAAUUUAAAUUUAAAGGACUUAAAUUAUAAUGCAGUUUAAAAAGUCACGGUCCCCUUCUAAAAUUCGUGAUUUCUACCAACGAUGCGGACCGANNNNNNNNNNNNNNNNNNNNNNNNNNNNNNNNNNNNNNNNNNNNNNNNNNNNNNNNNNNNNNNNNNNNNNNNNNNNNNNNNNNNNNNNNNNNNNNNNNNNNNNNNNNNNNNNNNNNNNNNNNNNNNNNNNNNNNNNNNNNNNNNNNNNNNNNNNNNNNNNNNNNNNNNNNNNNNNNNNNNNNNNNNNNNNNNNNNNNNNNNNNNNNNNNNNNNNNNNNNNNNNNNNNNNNNNNNNNNNNNNNNNNNNNNNNNNNNNNNNNNNNNNNNNNNNNNNNNNNNNNNNNNNNNNNNNNNNNNNNNNNNNNNNNNNNNNNNNNNNNNNNNNNNNNNNNNNNNNNNNNNNNNNNNNNNNNNNNNNNNNNNNNNNNNNNNNNNNNNNNNNNNNNNNNNNNNNNNNNNNNNNNNNNNNNNNNNNNNNNNNNNNNNNNNNNNNNNNNNNNNNNNNNNNNNNNNNNNNNNNNNNNNNNNNNNNNNNNNNNNNNNNNNNNNNNNNNNNNNNNNNNNNNNNNNNNNNNNNNNNNNNNNNNNNNNNNNNNNNNNNNNNNNNNNNNNNNNNNNNNNNNNNNNNNNNNNNNNNNNNNNNNNNNNNNNNNNNNNNNNNNNNNNNNNNNNNNNNNNNNNNNNNNNNNNNNNNNNNNNNNNNNNNNNNNNNNNNNNNNNNNNNNNNNNNNNNNNNNNNNNNNNNNNNNNNNNNNNNNNNNNNNNNNNNNNNNNNNNNNNNNNNNNNNNNNNNNNNNNNNNNNNNNNNNNNNNNNNNNNNNNNNNNNNNNNNNNNNNNNNNNNNNNNNNNNNNNNNNNNNNNNNNNNNNNNNNNNNNNNNNNNNNNNNNNNNNNNNNNNNNNNNNNNNNNNNNNNNNNNNNNNNNNNNNNNNNNNNNNNNNNNNNNNNNNNNNNNNNNNNNNNNNNNNNNNNNNNNNNNNNNNNNNNNNNNNNNNNNNNNNNNNNNNNNNNNNNNNNNNNNNNNNNNNNNNNNNNNNNNNNNNNNNNNNNNNNNNNNNNNNNNNNNNNNNNNNNNNNNNNNNNNNNNNNNNNNNNNNNNNNNNNNNNNNNNNNNNNNNNNNNNNNNNNNNNNNNNNNNNNNNNNNNNNNNNNNNNNNNNNNNNNNNNNNNNNNNNNNNNNNNNNNNNNNNNNNNNNNNNNNNNNNNNNNNNAGUACCAAUCUAAAGAUAAACCACACAAUGUGACACUACAUGGAUAAGAAUACUAUUCUACUGUGAAAUCUUAGCUUACCUUAGCUUUAAUUGAACGAACGUUUGGGAUAGACAAAUGAUAUUUGAACACUAUAAUGGCAUUAGGAUAUAAUACAAGUGAUGGUAGGUUGCGUAAAUGAUCCGCAUCAUUUUAGUGUGCCACAAAAUUAUGAUUUAUUGAAUAAUAAUAUUAUAGAGUGAUGUUAUUUGUACCCUAAAUUUUAUUUUAAAGACUGUAAUUUUUAAUAAAAAUAUUAUUACAAAAACUCCUCCAAUAUCAUUUACUAAUAAAGACAAUUCAAUUUAAGUUAAUGGAAUAUGAUUACUCUUCACACCAUUGAACGCACAUUCAAUUCAAUAAUCCAAUUACAAAACCCUGUAACUUUCUUUAACAAUAAAUCUAAUUUAUCAUUCGUAAAAGAAAAUAUUAAGGGUUUAAUAAAUAACCAACAAGCUACCAACAACAGCAAUUGAAAAAAAAUUUUUAUUUAUGCGGAAAAAAUGAGAAACAUUAUUUUGAUUUAAAAAAUUAAAAAUAAAACUGUACGUUUCAAACCCCCAAAAAGAAAAAGGAAAAAUAAUAAGAAAUCAGCUGCAUAUUGCUGCUGCUUCAAAAUUAUCAAUUGGAAAUACAAACUUGACUCCAGUCUAUAACUCUCUGGUAAAAUGAAGAGACAUUUCUCUUUUGACGGAAGUUUAUUUCAUUCAAAGAGAUGAGGGUCAUUUUUUUUUUUCAAGAGAUUUGAAUAUCAUUAACAAUAAUAGAAUUACAUAGAAUAAAGUUCUUUAGUCAACAAAGAAUUAAAUUGGGUGAGACGUAAGAUAUAAAUGGAGGACUAUUUUGGUAUUUAAAAGAAUGUGCUCAAUAAAAUCAAUUUUUAAAAUUUAUUAAAUGAGAGAACGAGUGUACAGAAUAAAGUGAUACUGUAAAAUCUAGAUUUCAAAUAGCCCCAUAUUAAGUCAUGGUUUGUCUUUUUAUUUUAAUUUUGAAAUAGGUUUGAAUGUUACUGAAGUUUGAAUGGCUUUGAAUGCUUAAGCUAGAAUAAUAUGUUUGGUUUUUAUUUUUUGGCAUCUGAGUGUAAGUGGUAAGUUGUUUGUAUUUUUACACUUAUGACUAGCUUAAAUAGAUAUGUAUUCAUAGUGUUUUCUAGUACAAUAGUUUUUAUAUGUUAUAAAUAUUUACAAGAAAAAUAAUUGAUAUAUAAUUUAUGAAAAAUAAUUUUGGUAACAUUAAUUUUUACAAUUUAGCAUAAUAUUUAUACAUAAAAAAAGUUGUUAUCUAUUAAUAAAAGAUUUUUUUUUUUAAAUUCAAAUUGAAUGUAUGUUAAAUACUUAAUAUGUAGUAAAAUUUCUUAUCUAUUGCCGCUGGAAGAUGGUAUCUCUACUGGAAGUCUUACUGUUAGAAUAUUUCCAUUAAUCUUUCGAAGUUUUGUUGGGUAACUUGGCUUGAUGGCUAGAAUUUGAAUUGCUUUUCUUAGAUUUUAAUUGGGAUUUAACUAUUGUUUUAUAUUUUAGAUUUUUUUAUAUUUGGGAUGUUUUAUUAUGUAUUGGUGGUGACGACAUUGAAUACUAGAUGUAUUUGUUUUGAAAUUAAUUUGUUGGAUUGAAUGGAGGUUAAUUAAUAUUAAUUACUUUUAGUUUUUUUGAUGAUAUUCAUUUUUAUUAGUUAAUUAAAUUUGUAAUCAGGAAUUCACAAAUAAAUUAUAAUCACAAUAGAAUUUUUUUUAAAAAAAAUUGACUUUAUGAUGGGAAAUAAUGAUCAUAAUGUUUGUCAUAAAACAUUUUGAGCCAAAAUUCAAUAAUAAAUUUACAAAUGAUAAUUUAAUUUCCCACCAAAAAUUUAAAAAAAUAGCGCAAAAAUAUAUAUAAAUUCAAAUUUUAAUUUAAUUAUUUUUCACAUUAAGAUAUUGUGUGACGUAUAUAUAACUGUAAAAUACUAUCAUGAAUUCAUGAUGGAAAAUAUUUUGUCAUAAAUUAAUGACAGUGAAAUAGAUGACAGAUGAACUGUUUGUCAUGCACCCCCUUUUACAAUAGUUAUUUCUCGUCAUCUAUUACCUGUUUUCUUGUUGUGAAAAUAGAUAUAACUUUAAAUUAUCUUCUUUUUUUUUAAGUAUAUUUAAUAAUGUUUAGACAUGCCUUUUUCUCUUUAAAACAAGUAAAAUUGCAUAAAGUGAAAAAAGAACUCUAUAAAUUUGUUAUAUAAAAAAUAUGAUUAAAAUUCAUACUAAUACAUAACUGUUAAUUUUCAUGUGAAAUUGUUCAAAGUUAAAAAAAAAAAUUUGCAUAAUUAUAUACAUACGUUUUUUAAUCUUAUAAUAGAAAAUAAAAGUAAAAUAUAAAAAAAAAUACAAACUUACUAGGUCAAAACUUUGAUACUAGAGAGAAUAUAUAAUAGUUGUGUCGGUAAUUUGAUUGUGAUGGUAAUGUGAUAUCUAAUGGUUUAAUAUUAUGGUGUAUGAGAAAGUAAGACAAUUAUUUUUUUAAUUAAAAUAUUAAGGCUAUAAUAGGAACUUUAAAAAGGUAUGAUAGUUUAUUUAAUAAGCUGCUUAUGAAAAGUAACUCUCUACUUACUUUUAAAAGUUGUUGUCAAAAUGGAGAAAAUGAUUAAAUAAGCAACUUUUACAAAAUUUACCAAACAUUAUUUUUGUCACAAAUUACAAAAUAAGUUGCUUAUUGAGUUUCAACAUCAAUUCCAAACGGGGCAUAUAUUAUUAAGUCAGCACCAGUUAGUCAUUUAGGUGCAAUAAGCAGUCUCUAUUAGAAAAUUCUGGUACAAGUGGCAGAGGGAAAGAAGUAAUAGAGUAAUAGGAUUCUCAUAUAACUAAUUAUCACCACAUUAUUGAAGUCCAAAAAGCUAUUAAGCUAUAUGGCUUGAUAACUUUUCCGAACUUUAAUAAAUCCAUGUUUUAGAUUGGAAUGUGCGUAUAUAAUUCACCUUAAAUUUUAUUAAAUAUUUAAAAACACAUAUUAACCUAAGUGUUGAUCUUGAAACAAUAAUAUUUACAUUAUUACAGAAUUCUUGAUGGAAUGGAAAAUAGAAAGAAGAAGAAUUGGGGUAAAGAGCGUGCACGAAGAAAAAAAAAAGAAAAUCAAAAUAAUAACGAUCUUAAAUUUUCUAAUUUUAUUAGUUAACUAAUUAAAAAUAAUUUUGUUUUAUGAAAAUGUGUAACAAUAUAUGCGAAAUUAUGUUAAGUAUAAAAUUGAUUCUUAAAUUCAAAUUUUGUGGUGAUUUAAAAAAAAAUUAUCAAAAUUAAAUUUUUGAGUUAAAAAAUUAUCAAAAUUAAAAUUUUGAUUUAAAAAAAUAUCAAAAUUAAAAUUUUGAUUUAAAAAAAUUAUCAAAAUUAAAUUUUAACUUUUAUAAGUGACUUUAGAGUCUCAAUAGUAAAUCUUAAAUGAGUCCUUAGUCAAGAUGAAACAAAAACAAAUGUAAAUUAUUUUAAAAAGUCAGCGUGCCCCUUAAAUUUCGUAAUUUCUACCAACGACAAGGACCGAUCAACAAAAAAAAAAUCCCAAAAAUUUCGUAAUUUCAAGAUUGGGGACGUGAACUUGAUAGCGAUAGUUGUCCAUUUUGUCAUUGUUGUAUGCCUGUCUGUAUCUAUUUUACUACUGUAUGCUCAAUUCAAUAAUUAGGGUACACAAUUUUGUGUGGCCAGCCUGGUUUCAUCAUUCAAAAUGCCAAUUUAGUCGUAUUAGUACCAAUUCAAAAAUUAAUCACGCAAAUGCGAGAAGAGAUGGAUACGAAUACUAACCAAGUCGAUAACAAUCCUUUGGCAUUCUGAUCUUAUCUGAGCUUUAGUUAGGGGAGCGUUGACAGAGACAAAUGAUAUUUAAACACUAUAGUGACAUUAAGAUAUGACUGAAGUGAUAGUACUGCGUGCAAACAAACAGUACAUACCAUUUUGGUCUGCCAUAGUGUUAUUGUUCAAUGAACAAAACAUUAUGGGUGGAACGUUAUUGCAAAAGAUACGAAUACUAAGUGGAUAAAAAAGAAAUAAAACUGUAAGUUUUAUUGCAAAAGAUACGUUAUUGCAAAACAUUUAUUUUUAACAUUUAACAUUAUUUUGUUUUAAAAAAUAAAAAAUAAAACUGUAAGUUCCGAUUAAAAAAAAUGAAAAAGAAAAACAAAUCAGUUGCUUAUUACUAUUGCUUGAAGAUUAUCAAUGAAGAACAUGAAUUGGAUUCUAAUAUAUAACUCUCUAGUAAAGAUAAGAGAAAAUUCUCUUUUUUUUAAAAAAAAAAAUAUAUUAUUUCAUUUAAAGACAUCACAGUGAUAUUUUGUUAAACAGAGACUUAAAUAUCUUGUUAACAAUAAUAGACUUAUUUAGAAUGAAGUUCUUUGAUAAAGAAUUAAAUUGGGUGAGAUAAUAAUCAUAUAUAAAUAAAAGACUGUUUUGGUAUAUAAAAGAACGUAUAGAAUAAAAAUUAAUUUUUAAAAUUUAUUAACUGAGUGUAAAAAAACAAAUGAUAUUCAAAAUUAAAUUUAGAGUGUAAAAAAUCGAAUGAUAUUCAAAAUUAAAUGUAGAGUGUAAAUAAUUCCAUUAUAAAAUUAAUUUUAUCGUGUUAAUGUUGCACUGAUUUGUGUCCUUUAAUAAAAGUCAAAAUUCUCUCGAAUUUUCAUGAUAAAAUUAAUAUUUCACUGCACCCAGUUACAGUACAGUACAUCUAGAGGACUAUUUAUAUAUGAGUUUCUUGUCAAAACACAAACUAGCUAAGUCUGCAGAAGAGUAGAAGAAAACAAAAAGGUAAUAGCUAGAAAUCAGUUAAUCUAAAUCUAUAUAACAUGGAGGCAAAAGCAACAGUUAUUGGGAAUUCUCUCGUGGAGCCUUCGAUUCUGGAGCUGGCAAAUAAUCUGCCACUGACAACUGUUCCGCCACGUUAUGUUCGCCCUGAGAUAGACCAUCCCUUGAUUCGCAACGACGAUUCUUCAGCACAACAACUUCCAGUCAUUGACAUGCACACGUUGCUCUCUGGGGAUGACUCAGAGCUUGAGAAGCUUGACCAUGCAUGUAAAGAGUGGGGUUUCUUUCAGGUACAUAAUAAUUGAGCAGUGAUAUUCAUAUAAUGAAAAUACUUAAUUGAUUGCAAAUCAUUGCUUUGGUUAGCGUUUUUUCAGGUCUCAGUGUUUUUACAUUUUCCAUAAAAAUCAUUUUACUUCCUGAGCUUUAAGUUUCCUAUAUGAACCAUGCAUGUAAAGACUGGGGUUUCUUUCAGGUACAUAACAAUUUAGCAGUGAUAUUCAGAUAAUAAAAAUUAGACAAAACGUUUACAAAAAACAAAGUAAAUCAGUACCGGAUUAGUCACUUGAUUGUAAACCCAUUAAACAGACUAAUUUAUCGUUGUUUUUGUCAGCAUUUUAUCAGCUCUCCGUUUCUUUAGCUUUUUCCAUAAAAAUCAUUUUGUUUCCAGAACUUCAAAAUUUCCUUUAUGAACCAUGUAUAUAUGGAAAGAACAUCUUGCUUUAAUUUGCAUAUAUGCGGUUGAUGAAUCAUGGAGUGAGCAGUUCAUUGGUGGAGAAAGUGAAAGCAGAGAUUCAAGAAUUCUUUAAUCUUCCAAUUGAUGAGAAAAAGAAGUUUUGGCAGCAGCCAGGAGAUAUUGAGGGAUUUGGGCAGCUUUUUAUUACGUCUGAAGAGCAGAAGCUUGAUUGGGGAUACGGCUUUACUAUGUUCACUCUCCCAACCCAUCUGAGGAAACCCCACUUGUUCCCCAAGUUGCCUCUUCCAUUCAGGUUCUAUACUUAAAUUUUAGACUUUUCUUAUAUAGAAUAUUCUAUCUUAUGAUAAUUACUGGACUAUAUAUUAUUAUUUGCAUGCAGAGAUGACUUGGAAGUUUACUUAACGGAACUUAAAAAUCUUACCUUGAAAAUCCUUGACCUAAUGGCUAAAGCUCUAAGAAUGGAUCCCAAUGACAUGAAAGAGCUGUUUGAAAACGGGAUGCAAUCAUUAAGGAUGAAUUAUUAUCCUCCUUGUCCGCAACCAGAGCAAGUUCUCGGCUUUAAGCCUCAUUCUGAUGGCUCCGUACUCACCAUCCUCCUCCAAAUCAAUGAGAUGGAUGGUCUCCAAAUUAAGAAAGAUGGAAAAUGGUUUGCUGUUAAGC
RNAcentral lists this long non-coding RNA (61771 nucleotides) under Citrus sinensis (sweet orange). RNAcentral describes it as "long non-coding RNA (CSIN_LNC004949)". Lineage: Eukaryota; Viridiplantae; Streptophyta; Magnoliopsida; Sapindales; Rutaceae. The record is from RNAcentral.